GUAAUCUUUUGAACAGGAUAUAAUUACGGGUGGAACCGACACCACAACUACGAUGGUGGAAUGGACAAUGGCAGAGUUGAUGCAGCAUCCACAAGUAAUGAAGAAAGUUCAGGAAGAAUUAGCUCAAGUUGUGGGCAUGGACAGUUGUGUUGAAGAAUUUCAUUUGCCUAAACUGAAAUAUUUAGAUGCUGUGGUGAAAGAAUCGUUUCGUCUGCAUCCUGCAGUGCCUUUAUUAGUACCACGCAGAGCAAGCGAGAGUGGCAGCAUUGGUGGCUAUACCAUUCCCAAAGAUACAACUCUUAUGUUGAAUGUUUGGGCUAUCCACAGGGACCCUCAACUUUGGGAUAAUCCCUUAGAAUUUCGACCCGAGAGGUUUCUGAAUGUUGGUGUCGAGAGUAAGUUCGAUUACUCAGGUAACAAUUUUCAGUACUUACCUUUUGGUUCUGGUAGAAGAAUGUGUGCUGGGAUUCCUCUAGCUGAGAGGAUGCUGAUGUUUGUUUUGGCUUCGUUAUUGCACUCAUUUGAGUGGGAAUUGCCAGCUGGCACAAAGCUAAAUUUAUCUGAAAAAUUUGGGUUUGUCAUUAAGAAAAAAGAGCCUUUGGUUGCUAUUCCAACACCAAGACUAUCCAAUUCAGAGCUUUACCAUUAAAACAGAAUGAUUGUGAUGAUUUUGUUAGUAUCGGAAGAUUUGUAUGUUAUUUCAAGUUCAAUCGUAAUAAAAUAUUUUAAUAAAAGUCCUCCGUUGCUAAUUUUUUUUUUCAACGGCAUAAUCUGUCAUCAUGCUUGUGUUUGGAGCUACUUUGGAAUGAUUAUUUUUGAAUUACAAUUUAUAAAUAUUUAGGUUUUAAAUUUUUUAUAAGAGUCUAAAUUUAUACACGUUCAGUAAAAGAUUCCCUAAAAGCUUUACAAUUCAAAAUUCUAUUAAAAGUAUAGAUGAAACUUUUAUACCUACUAAUUUUUUGGUCUAUUCUACAAGUUUAAAGAGGAGAUAUUUCUAGAGCUAGCAAAAAGAGCUACCUGAUUGUUUUCGCGUUAUGUCAAUUUUUUUAUUGUGUUAAAUUUAAUUUGACCCACAUAUGACCCAUUUAAUAAUCGUGUCAAAAUAUUGAAACUUGAACUUGAUACGGAAAAUAAAUGGAUGACCACACACACCCAUUUAAGAAUUAGGUAACUAUGUCACUUAAUACGACAUAACCCAAUAACUCGUUUAAUACAUAUUUAACAUAAUUUACAUUGUACAUUGUACACCCUUUUGUCAUAAAUUACACUAUUUUAUAUUUCUAAAUAAUAUUAUAUAUUGAUAUUAUAAAAAAAUAUCAAUAAUCUCAAAAUUUGUACACCUCCUAACUUUUAAAAAGAAAUAAAAAAACUAAUUAAUUAAUGUUUAUUUUAUUCAUUAAUAUAUCAUAAUCCUACAUGUAUUUUAUUUGUUAUUUUUUUUAUUUAAAAAGAUAGGAGGGUGGAUGAAACUCAAAUAAAUUUUUAGCCUAUCCUGAUCUUUCAAGUUUCUUAUUUAGGAGGCCAGUUAAAAAAAAUUACUUAGAAAGCUACUCCAUCAAUUUAACAAAUUUUAUUUAUUUAAUUAAUGGAGGUGUAGAAAAUAAAAGUAUCUGCAAGCACAUUGCAAUAGUGAAAGCAAUGUACCGGUGUUGCAACAUAACUGAAUCUUGAUAACCUAUCACAUAUUUUAAGUUUUAAUAUUGGUAGUUCACGGAUCGGUUUCUACUUCCACGAACAAUUAUUGAAGGAAAUGAGUUUUUUUUUUAAUGAAUAUUUAUAGACCCCGAUUAAAUAUUCGAAUAUAUAAUAAAAGAGAAACUGACAUAGAAAUGAGAAAGAUAUUUGGAGGAGGCCAAAAAAAAAAAAAAAAAUGCAACAGAGAAUUAGAUCAGCAACACAAGUAACUAAUUAAUUCAUCUAUACAUCAUAAUCCUAUUUGUAUCUUCUUCCUUCUACUAAUUUACAUAUAAAUUUGGUUAGAUAAAACAUAUUUUAAUACUCGGUCACAAGCGGUGGAUAUAGAAAAUUAAUUUAGAGGGGGUAAUACCAUAACGAAAAAUAAUGAUUCAUAACUAAAAUCAACCCCAACAUCAAAACUUAUUUACAAGAUUACGCCCAGUCAAAGGUAAUUUUUCCUAAAAACUAAUACGAAAUUAAAUAAAUUUAACUUUUAGUGGGUUCAAGUGCCCACGCAUUCUGAACGUAGAUCCACCCCUGGCCCCGACUGAAGCAUUUUUUACAAUAUGUACUCAGUUUAUCAACAGGAACAACCUUCCACUUUAAAUUAAAAUUUUCACUUAAAAAUGAUUAAUGUUAAUGAGGUUAGCAACAAAAAUGAGUUUAAUUAGAGAAUAUUAUAAGAGAAAUUAUAUUUUUUGACUUUUAAUAAAUUAAAAUAUUAUUAGUUGGUGGUGGUUUCACGUCAGAUUAAGACGUGACACUUUACUUAUGAGGUCGAGACAAUCGACUUAAACUAUUUCAAUGCAUUUGAAAUUUGCACUAAUGGCUAUCAUUCUUUGUCCAAAUUAAUACGAUAAUUAAUAACAUACAAUUGAAAUAAUUAAUACUAGCACUUGGCAAUAAAUAAAGCUCUUGUGCUUGAAUCGUCACACAUGAUCACUUCAUUCCUUUAUUUACUUUGCUACCACAAAUUUUGAGGCAUUAUAACUAAAUAAUAAUUGAAUAGGGCUUUGUGUUACUUGUUGUGCGCGCGGAAUGCGGAAUCAAGCACACCAAAUUAUUACAGAAAAAUAAAGGACACAAUUAUUUGACGUGGUUCGGUAAUUAAACUUACAUCCACGGAGGCAAGAAAGAAUAAUUGUUUAUUUAACAAUUAAUAGAGUACAAAUAUUUGAGUAACGAAUCUCACUUCUCAGAAACCUAAAUAUACCCAAUACUCUCACACUCUGCAGGAAAGAUAAAUUAUCCAAACACACUUCUCUCACUUCUCUAAAAAACUUAAAAAUUUAAAAACUUAACAAUUUUGGAAUGCUUUAGAAUAGAAGAAGUGCCAUCUUAUAGGAAAAAUAAUGAUACUAUUGCACCAACCUCUUUACUAUUCCACCUAACAUAAGCAAAUUGUCAAUAGUGUCCAUUUAACUUUUUAUUUUUUUUCUUCAAUUGUUUAGUAGCCCUUUAAAAAUCUGCGUGGUUUCUUGAAAUUUAGAUGCCACAUGCAUGACUUUUCAACACUAAUUACUACGAUAAUUAAUAUUAGCACUUGGCAAUAAAUAAAGCUCUUGUGCUUGAAUCGUCACACACGAUCACUUCAUUCCUUUAUUUGCUUUGCUACCACAGAUUUUGAGGCAUUAAAACUAAAUAAUAAUUGAAUAUGGCUUUGUGCGUCGAUGACGCCAGCAACAAGGGGACCACAAUUAUCACUUUUUAAGUUGCUUUUAAAAUUGAUUUUAAUAGUGAUUUGAUUAUUGUAGUGUUUUUAUUUUUAUAUUAAAAUUAAGUCGAUUUGUUAUAAUAAACUUAGUUGAGUUUAAUGGUAUUACUACAUAAAUUGAAUAGUCAUCAAAUAUUUUAAUGUUUUUAUGGCAAGUGUUGACGUGGCAUUUAUUUGUUGUAUGAUGGAUUUUAAAAUUUAUAAAAUUAUUUGUUAUUAAAUUACCCCCAGAUGCUGCAUCACCUGAAACUUAAUAAAGGGCAUGUAGCAUUGCCAUUACUCAACAUUCACUCUUAUGACUUUAUGACAUUAGAAUUAAAAUCUUUCGUACAUUUAAUUUGUUUGCUUCCAGAUUAAUCUUUAAAAAUAUUUUUUUCACAUUAUCAUGAAUGGACAAAACUCCAACGAAAAUAACUACGCAAGAGCAAUCUAUGCUAGUAUUAUAUGCCACGAUAUCUAUAACUUUGUCAGGUCUCAGGAUCGAUCAUUCUAAUUUUUACGCAGAACUUUUAAUCAAUGGACAAACACCUCACCGAGCUUGUCGGCAGCAUUACUACGAUGUAAAAUUGUACCGGAAUAUCUUGAAGUAUUAGUAGAAUAAUGAAGACUAUUUGGAGCAAUAAAAACAAAUAACGCAGAUAAAAAAAAUGGCUAAAAUUAUGUAAGUGAGCCCCAAAGUUUUUGCUAUUUCCAGGAAAUCCCAAAUUUGAAUGGACUAGAGGGAGGCACGUAAGAAAUACAUUUUCUUCCUAGACAAUGACAGCUAUGACAUCAAGCCACGUAUUGAAAUUAAGGUGUAAUUAUUCAGCCAAUGAGCCUUACACACCAAGAUGUAUAAAAGUCAAGAAAAUGAAAUUUUAUCCCAAUUAAAACACUUUCUGGCUGCAAUUGGCUGUUUCCAUUUGAAGUUAAAAAACAACAACGUUUCUUUCGUUUUGUGGGCGAUUCGAUUGAGCACGCGCCACGAGCUAGCUGGCUUCCAGUGCUUGCGUGUGACAAUAGAAGGCUAGUGAUUUCACUUUCGCUUUUUUUUUUUUUUCUUUUUUUUGGGGAAUCAAGAUAAAAGCCAAGAAAAUGAAAAUUGGGCUGUUUCCAUUUGAAGUUAAAAACAGUGUUUCUUUCGGGGCGUCAAUUUGAUAUUUGAAUGGACAGGCAAGUAAGAAAUACAAUUCCUUCAUAGACAAUGACAACGAGGACAUCAAGGCACAUCAUUAUAGUUUGUAGCCCAUCUACAUUUAAACGAUUAAUAAACAAGCUUAGGUGUGCCACUGCUAUUAUUAAUUAUCCCCUGAUCAUUAUAGUUUCUGAAACAGUAAAACAAAACGAAAUUGAAUACAUCAACGAGAUCGCAAUUAUCACUUGUUUAGUUGCGGUAUUUAACUUAAUUUUAAUCUAAUAUAUUUGUUAGUUAAACUUUUAAUAAUCAAAUAAUUUUGACUUAAAAAUAAAAUUAUAGAAAUUAUUAAUUAUUAAAAAUUCACACAUAGCUAUUGUUUUCUCUAUAUAUUGCAGUGUGUACGAUAUUGAGGGUUGAAGCCCAAAGCAUGCCCUAAAAUCCAGAUAAUAAUUAGAUCCGGGCCAAAUAUUCAUCAUUGUGUCGGCUGAUCAGUCGGUGGACAUCUCUAUUGAAAAAAUCUCUGACAUUUCUCUCGACAAACUUAUUACUAAAAAAAAAUCAGUGGUUUUGCCGUCUGAAUAAUGUAGAAAAAUUUGUCUGUGCAUUAAUCUAGAUGUUUGAGGUGAUUUAUACAUCUGUGAUAAAGAUUUAUAGGUUGACUUAUACGUCUGUGGUAUAGAUUUUAUGUAUUUCAUUACAAAAUGCUGGCCGUUAGAACCCUUUCUACAUCUAUUUAUAAGAUUAACGGGUGCCAGUUAUGCCAUUACAAAUUAUCCCCUCAUCAGAUAUUUCGUUAAAAUUCAUUCUGAAACACUAAAACUAAAUAAUCGAACAUGGCUUUGCGGGUCGAUGAUGCCAGAAGCAAUUCGACUGCAAUUAUCACUUGUUUAGUUUCUGUGCUUGCCGUGGUUUACUUGGCAUGGAAUGUGAAAAAAUCAAGGAAAGCAAAUGCUAAACUGCCACCAGGACCUCCCGGCUUGCCUGUAGUCGGAUACCUCCCAUUUCUCGGAACUACUGACUUGCACAAGAAAUUCACGGAAUUAUCCGGAGUUUACGGUCCGAUCUUCAAGCUCUGGCUCGGAAAUAAAUUAUGUGUAGUGGUGAGCUCACCUUCCCUAAUUAGACAAGUGGUUCGUGAUCAAGAUACAACAUUCGCGAACCGUGACCCACCGAAGGCUGCACUAGUGGUCUCCUAUGGUGGCAAUGAUAUUGCAUGGUCCAAUUACGGUCCCGAAUGGAGAAAGUUGCGCAAAUUUUUUGUGGGCAAGAUGAUGAGUAACGCAAGCCUUGAUGCUUGUUAUGCUCUAAGAAAACAAGAGGUUAAAAAUACUAUCAGGGAUUUGUAUAACAACGACAACAAAAUUGGCAAGCCCAUUGACAUUGGUGAAUUGUCGUUUUCAACAUUGGUAUGUGCUAUACAGAACAUGCUGUGGGGUGAAGCGCUUGAAAUAAGAGAGAAAGGGACCACUAAUCUUGGGGCUGGGCUAAAAUUUAAGCUGGCAGAACUCAUGGUGCUUGCGGGAACACCGAAUAUUUCGGAUGUCUUUCCAAUGCUUUCAUGGCUUGACAUACAAGGUAUAGAGAGGAGAGCAAAGAAGAUUUCACUCUGGCUUGAAAAUGUUAUAAAUUCUACUGUUGAACAGCAUAGAAACAAGGAGUCAACUGUUGAAGGUGAAGAAAGAGCGGGGAAAAAUUUUGAAGGAUCAAGGAACAAGAACUUCUUGCAGUUACUAUUGGAGCUUCAAGAAAAUGAUGACAGUGCUUCCUCAAUUAGCAUGAACCAAUUCAAGGCCGUACUCAUGGUAUGUUAAGUAACUAGCAACGAACAGUUAUACAAGCACAGUUGUAUAUUUGCAUGAGUGAUAUUUUCAACCUUUUUUUUUAAUUAGAAUUUUAUUGUCACCUUUUGGACAGGAUAUAAUUACGGCUGGAACCGACACCACAGCUACGAUGGUGGAAUGGACAAUGGCAGAGUUGAUGCAGCAUCCACAAGUAAUGAAGAACGUUCAGGAAGAAUUAGCUCAAGUUGUGGGCAUGGACAGUUGUGUUGAAGAAUUUCACCUGUCUAGAUUAAAGUAUUUAGAUGCUGUGGUGAAGGAAACAUUUCGUCUGCAUCCUGCAGUGCCUUUAUUAGUACCACGCAGAGCAAGCGAGAGUGGCAGCAUUGGUGGCUAUACCAUUCCCAAAGAUACAACUCUUAUGUUGAAUGUUUGGGCUAUCCACAGGGACCCUCACCUUUGGGAUAAUCCCUUAGAAUUUCGACCCGAGAGGUUUCUGAAUGUUGGUGUCGAGAGUAAGUUCGAUUACUCAGGUAACAAUUUUCAGUACUUGCCAUUUGGUUCUGGUAGAAGAAUGUGUGCUGGGAUUCCUCUAGCUGAGAGGAUGCUGAUGUUUGUUUUGGCUUCGUUAUUGCACUCAUUUGAGUGGGAAUUGCCAGCUGGCACAAAGCUAAACUUAUCUGAAAAAUUUGGGAUUGUCAUUAAGAAAAAAGAGCCUUUGGUUGCUAUUCCAACACCAAGACUAUCCAAUUCAGAGCUCUACCAUUAAGACAAAAUGGUUGUGAUGAUUUUGUUAAUUUUCCGAAGAUUUGUAUGUUAUUUAGUUCAAUCGUAAUAAAAUAUUUCAAAUAAGAGUCCUCCGUUGCUUUUUUUUUUUUUUUUUUUUCAACGGCAUAAUCUGUCGUCAUGCUUGUAUUUGGAGCUACUUUGGAAUAAUUAUGUUUGAAUUACAAUUUAUAAAUAUUUACGUUUUAAAUUUUUUAUAAGAGUCUAAAUUUAUACACGUUUAAUAUCCCGCUUCAUAGAUAUUUAACACAAUUUAUAUCAUACAUUGUAUACCCAUUUGUCAUAAAUUAUACUAUUUUGUAUCUCUAAAUAAUAUUACGUAUUGAUAUUAUAAUAUAUAUAUAUAUGUUUAUCAAAAGACUAUACCAUUCAAUAUAUAUUGAAAAGAGAACAAAGAAGAUUUUCUUAUGGUUUAAAAAUAUUAUGAAUUCUGCUGUUGAACAGUAUGGAAACAAGGUCUCUGUUGUUAAAGGUGAAGAAGCAACAGGGAACAAUAUUGAAGGAAGAAAUUUCACAUGUUUAGUUGCUGAAUUUGCCGCUGUAUUCUAUCGGUAGUAGAGUUUUUAUUUUUCUCUAUUAAUUUAAGUCAAUUUUCUAUAACAAAUUCGGUUGAGUUUAAUUGUGUUAUAAUAUAAAUUGAAUGAUAAUAGAAUUUUCAACAAAUAUUUCAAUAUUUCUAUCUCGAUUGUUGAAGUGCCAUUUAUUUGUUAUGCGAUCGAUUUUAAAAUUUAUAAAAUUAUUUGUUACUAAAUUGCAUCAUAUGCUAAAAUCACCUGAAACCUAAUUCCAUAACUAACCCUUUAUUUUUAGUUCUCAAGAAAUCUUGUAAGAACAAAAAUCUUUUAUAACAAAACUUUUACAACACAUUAAUUUGUAACUCAUUCCUGUGCGCGAAUCACUCUCAAUUUCCUUCAAUUGCUGUUUAACAAUCAUCUACUUAUCAAAAUUCAAGCAUAAUCUUUUUUUUUUAAUUUCUUCAUCAUUCUUUAAAAAAAAAAUCAGGAUAUGCUGUUAAAUUUUGAAAUAAAUAAAUUAACCAAAGUUGGUUGAUGUGAGUGGUUCAAUGAUGAGCAUAAUUUAUAUACAUAUUUUACCUUUAAUUAUAUAAUUAUUAGUUAUUUUUAUUAGUUAUUUUUAAUUAAUUGAAUUAUUUUAUUGCAUAGAGAAUUAAUUGGAGAUUGGGAAACAAAAAGUGCAUAAAGAAUAACAAGUUUGGGAAAGCAUCAAUCAAAGCCGUGACGCAAUUAAGAGUUUAUAGCAUAUGAAGCCAAGAGUAAUUUGCACUCAAAAAGAAUUUCAAUUAUUCAAGUGACCUGGACCUGCAUGGCAUUGUAAUGCAUGGAAAGCAACUUAAAGGGGCCCACACUUGGCUUUUACAAUUGGAAAAAGGAAUCCUAGUGCAAGCUUAAUUGAUGAGCACGUGAGUGAGAGCAAAGAAAAUUAAAAGGCCAAGCCUUUUGGCUUAAGGAAAUAACAAGGUCGGUGGGGCCCAUUUUAAAGAGUAAUAUAAAAGCAAGCUUUUGGCUUUUGGAGAGAGGAGCCGCGAGAGGAGGAAAACGCAAGACAAAGAGAAGAAAAUCUGCAGCAGUUCGGCUUCUAUGGUUGGUUUUAUCUCUUUUGUUACUCUUAAUUCAAAUAUGUCUAGUUAAUUUUCUUAUAUUAAAGUUAAGGAUGAAACCCUAUUCAAUGAAAUAAUUAUCUUUUUAUUUAUUUAAUUCCCAUAUAUGUUCUUUAAUGAUUAUGAUUUUUAUUUCACAUGAUUAAUUGGAUGUUAUUAAAAUUUUUUCAUCAAUUCUGUCAUGCAUUAUUGAUUGUUAGGAUUAAUAUUCAAUUAAAUCUAUACUUAGAUUUAUAACGUUUAUACAUGAUUAUCUUUGAUUCUAUGUCUUUCAUUAAAUUGUUUACAUGGAGUGCUUAGGAAAACUUUGACUCUUUGUUAUUCAAUAUGUUCACAUGGGAUACUUAGAUGUCAUACUAUUAAGCGGAAAAAGAACCUAUAUUAGAUUUAAUUAUUUGGGCUUAAUUGUUAUAUCCAUGAGAUGACACAAAUUGAUUUCGAGUUGUCACUCUAAAAUUAGAGAUUAAUGAAUAUUUAGAUAAUUACUAGUUGAAUAGCGGUGGAUUCUGAAACCUUGGUAAUUUCUAUCUUAUUGAAUUCUCCUUUACUUUAAUUGUUUUCUUAGUUUAAUUAAUUUAAUUUCUUUUAAAACUCAAUUUGCUUAACUAGGUUAGAAUUAAUAUUAAUUUUAGAUUUAAAUUAGACUUUUCAAUUUAUAACAAUCCAUGUGGGAUCGACCUCGUUACCACUACUUUAUUUCUAGAUUCGUGCACUUGCGAGUAUAUUAAAAUUUUCACAACAAGUUUUUGGCGCCGUUGCCGGGGAUUGUGCCAGAAAGUCAGUUUAAUCUAGGUUGAUUUGAUUCUUCCACUAGUUAUAAUUUAUGUUGUCUUUUAUUUUAUUAUUAUUUUUAAUUAACAAAAACACACAAAAAAACUUUUAUUUUUCUUUAAAUUCAUUGUUUGGUUGUUUGAUUUCUUUUAUUUUUUAAAUUUUGUUUAUUCUCAUUAUUGUUGGUUUAUUUUAUUUUAUUUUUUUCUUUCCUUGUCUAGUUAGUUUAUGAGUGUUUGGGAAUGUGAUUCAACAAAUCGUUUGGUAAAAGAGAGUCAAAAAUUGAUAGUAGUCAAGUUAGUUCUUCUGAAGUCAUGGAUGACCCAAAUAGAUUAUUGCCAAUACUUCCACCAGUGCAAGCAGAGAAAACCCUUAGAGAAUAUUUUUCACCACUUGCAGCCAACCAACCAUCUUGUAUUGUGUUGCCACAAACUACAGCAACACACUUUGAACUUUUUGAACUUAAGCCCUCAGUCAUCCAACUUUUACCAUCUUUCCAUGGGUUAGAGAGAGAGGAUCCAUAUUUGCACAUUAAGGAAUUUCUUGACAUAUGCUCUACAUUCCGUUUUCAAAAUUUUAAUGAUGAGUUAAUCAGGCUUCGUAUGUUAUCUUUCUCAUUAAAAGACAAAGCAAAAGCUUGGUUGAAUUCGCUUUCUGCUGGGUCUAUAACUACGUGGGAUGAAUUGAAUAAUAAGUUCCUCACCAAGUUUUUCCCUAUGUCUAAAACAAAUGCCCUUAGGAGAGAGAUAAGUGAUUUCUAUUAAAGAGAGGGUGAGCAAUUUUAUGAGUGUUGGGAAAGAUUCAAUGAUUUACUCCUCAAGUGCCCCCACCAUGGUUUUGAGAAAUGGAGACUUAUACAAUGCUUUUAUAACGGUUUAACCAUGUCGAAUCGUCAUAUGGUAGAGUCUAUGAAUGGUGGGAGAUUUUUGAACCUACAUGAAGGGGCUGCAUGGGAUUUCUUUAAUUCACUUUCUGAGAAUUCUCAACAGUGAGAUUUUUCAAGCCAAAGGGAAAAAUCAUCUCAAGUUUCUAGAAAGGGGUUAUAUGAAGUUAAGGAUGAUUUUGAUGUGAAAUCCACUCUAAUUACACUUUCUAGAAAAGUAGAUGCCUUAGCUCUGAACCAAUCAAUGAAUCAUCAUCCUAGUGUAGCUAAUGAGGUUUGUGCUAUUUGUUCUAACUUGUCUCAAACAGCACAAAACUGUCCAUCAUUACCAGUCUAUCCAGAGGCUUAUUCUGAGCAGGUACAUGCCUUACAAUCAUAUGAGAAAACCUCCAAUAAUACAUAUUCACUCACAUAUAAUCCUAAUUGGAGGAAUCACCCUAAUUUUUCUUGGAAACAAAAUCAAUCUUUGUCAAACCAAGGAGGACAACAAUUUAACAUGCCCAAUCAACAAUUUGUCCCUCCUAACCAAGUAUAUCCUCCUGCCCAACAACCUAUAUCUCAAUUUGUUACACCCCAACAAAGAAAACCUUCUUUAGAGGAUACACUUCAAAGUUUCAUUCAGUCAACCUAAUAAGCUUUUCAGUCAAACACUCAAGCUAUUCUAAAGCUUGAACAUCAAUUGGGUCAAUUAGCAACUACUGUAGCGGAGAAAGAAAAAAGAAAAUUCCCCAGUCAAUCAAUUCCUAAUCCUAAAGGAGUGCAUGAAGUUGGAUCGAGUUCAAGCCAUCAGCAUGAAGAAGCAAAAUCAAUUAUGACCUUGAGAAGAGGAAAAUUGUUUGACAACAAAGUGGAGGUUCAAACAAAGAAGACAUCUGAGCCUACUUCUUCAGAUCCAAUUACAUCACAAGAAUCAUCACCAAAUGAUCUUGAAGAGAGUGACCCGCUAGCUUACAUUCCCAAGGCUCAUUUUCCUCAAAGGUUAACAAAGGUAAAGAAAGGGACUUCAACAUGUGAGAUUAUAGAAAUCUUCAAGCAGGUAAGUAUAAACAUCCAUUUACUCGAUGCUAUUAAGCAAGUUCCUUCCUAUGCCAAGUUUUUGAAAGAUUUAUGCACUAAAAAGAGAAAUUUGCAUGUCACUAAAAAGGCGUUUUUAACUGAACAAACUAGCAAUUUACUUCAAUGUAAAAUGCCACCAAAAUUUAAGGAUCCUGGUUCUCCUACUAUUUCAUGUGUUAUAGGGAACCAAUGUUUUGAUAAAGCAUUAUUGGAUUUAGGUGCUAGUGUUAAUCUCUUACCUUAUUCCAUUUACAUGCAGCUUGGACUAGGUGAGUUAAAAUCAACUCCUAUUAUUUUGCAACUUGCUGAUAGGUCAAUGAAAAUACCUCGUGGUAUUAUAGAGGAUGUGUUGAUACAGAUUGACAAAUUUUAUUAUCCUGUUGAUUUUAUUGUUAUUGAUACUCAACAUGUACAUGAUCUUAAGAAACACACUCCACUUAUUCUUGGUCGUCCUUUCUUAGCUACAGCUGAUGCUCAUAUUAGUUGCAGGACUUGAAACAUGCAAUUGUCUUUUGGUAACAUGACCAUGGAAUUAAAUAUUUUUAAUGUUCCCAAGCAGGCACAAGAAGAUGAUGAAGUCGUUGAAGUAGAUAUGAUAGAAGCAUCAAUUGAUGACUCACUUAUUUCUAACCAUUGUGACAAUCCAUUAAUACCUUGCACAACUGACUCUGAUUUCUCUAUUGAUGUUGAUAGUGAUAUUGAAGAAGUUAAUGCUUUACUUGAUUCGACUCUUAUCAUAGAUCUAAUUAAGUGGAAAGAAAAGAUAAGAUUGAGCCACUUCCUCCUGAAGAGAAAAGUGCAACAUAGGUCACAUUCUGACAUAAAAAAGGUGGUAAGAUCUAAAACGCUUAAAUUAUUAGAUUUUUAUACUACUUUAGAUAACUCUCAGGAAAGCUUAGAACAGAAGAGAUCAAAGCAAUGCGAUAUUGAGGAGUUUCAUUACCAUCAUCCUUUUAUGGAUAAAAUGCUCCAGUGCUUAAUCAAUUAUGCUUUUUGGUAUUUUCUAUAUAAUUGCUUUAAUUUUCACCAAAUUCUUAUUGAUCCUGGUUGAUUUGUUGUUUACAUUAAUUAGUUAGUUAGUCGGAUUUUUUUAUUAUUAUUUAUAUUUCUUCUAACGUUUUCUUUUGAGUUGUCAUUCUUUUAAGUUUUCCUAGCUCAGUCAGGUGUGUUCUCUCCAACUUUCUCUUUUAUUAUUUAUGUUUUUAUUUUUCAUCUUUUUGCGUGCAUAUCUUUUAUUUAUGACACAUUGAGGACAAUGUUCCGAAUAAGUUUGGGGGUGGGAAUAAUGUUGCUUUGUUUGUUAAAAAAAACUAAAAAAAAAUUUCAAAAAUUCAAAAAAAAAUUGUGUUUUUUUUGUUUUUACGUGAAAAGCCAAUGAUAAAAACUUGAUUGACAAUGAAUAUGGUUUUUAGAAAGGGUUUAAUAUUGUCUUAAUUUAUACUUGAUUCUUAUGUUAGUUCCUCUUGAUUGAGAUUCUUUAAAAUAUAAGCACUAAUAUCAAUUCUUUCAUAAUUUUGACUUGAAAUUUGAGAUUGACGCAGCCUGAGUUGAGAAUUUUAGAUAGAGUAAAUGACUGUUUGUCUUUAUUCUUAUCUCCACAAUACAAAAUAGUAUACACAGGCACCAAAGUCAGAAAUAACUACCUAUAAUCCUUAAGAGUGAAGCUAUCCUUGAGUAAUUUAGGCCUAUGUACCACAAGUAUGUAGAGGAUAAUCUACCAUGAGAAGAAUGCUACCUUAAGGGGUAGAGUGAAAGCUCCUGACUAUGGUUAAAAAAAAAAGAAGAAGAAAAAGAGAAAGAAAAAAUCAAAUCAAGUGCAUGUGCUGAAAAAAAAAUCAAAAGAAAAUGCACAUAAAAGCCUGUGAAAAAAAAAUUGGAGAUUAAGAUGAUAAGAUUAGCUUGACCUACUCUUUUCUUUUUUUGAGGCGAAGGUUGUUGAUAUUGAAGAUUUUAGGAAUGAAUUUGAUUGAAUUGAUUUCACACACACACAACAAGAAUCGAAAGAGAGAUGGGAUUGAUUAUUGAAUUAAAGUUAGAACUUUGCCAAUAUUUGAAAUUUUGUUUGAGCUAUAUAAUUUAUGCAAUCUUUGAGGGUAUUUUCAUAUUUUAUUUAAAGUUUUUUUUUCUUUUUAUUUUAUUUUAUUUAUUUUUUAUUUUUUUAAAAUGAUGUUUGUGGGUGUCAUCACUGAAGCUCUCACGAGACUAUAACUCGUCCACUAGGGGUUUAAAGGCUUGUUGCAUACGCUAAAUGCAAUCGCGAUUACCUGCGAAAAUGGUUUAGUUAGGAUUUACUUUUUGUUUUGUUAUUUUUUUUUUUUUUUUUAGUUUUAGCUUUGCUCGAGGACUAGCAAAAUCUAAGUUUGGGGGUAUUUGAUGAGCAUAAUUUAUAUACAUAUUUUACCUUUAAUUAUAUAAUUAUUAGUUAUCUUUAUUAGUUAUUUUUAAUUAAUUGAAUUAUUUUAUUGCAUAGGGAAUUAAUUGGAGAUUGGGAAACAAAAAGUGCAUAAAGAAUAACAAGUUUGGGAAAGCAUCAAUCAAAGCCAUGACACAAUUAAGAGUUUAUAGCAUAUGAAGGCAAGAGUAAUUUGCACUAAAAAAGAAUUUCAAUUAUUCAAGUGAUCUGGACGUGCAUAGUAUUGUAAUGCAUGGAAAGCAACUUAAAGGGGCCCACACUUGGCUUUUACAAUUGGAAAAAGGAAUCCUAGUGCAAGCUUAAUUGGUGAGCACGUGAGUGAGAGCAAAGAAAAUUAAAAGGCCAAGCCUUUUGGCUUAAGGAAAUAACAAGGUCGGUGGGGCCCAUUUUAAAGAGUAAUAUAAAAGCAAGCUUUUGGCUUUUGGAGAGAGAAGCCGCCAGAGGAGGAAAACGCGAGACAAAGAGAAGAAAAUAUGCCGCAGUUCGACUUCUAUGGUUGGUUUUAUCUCUUUUGUUACUCUUAAUUCAAGUAUGUCUAGCUAAUUUUCUUAUAUUGAAGUUAAGGAUGAAAUCAUAUUCAAUGAAAUAAUUAUCUUUUUAUUUAUUUAAUUCCCAUAUAUGUUCUUUAAUGAUUAUGAUUUUUAUUUCACAUGAUUAAUUGGAUGUUAUUAAAAUCUUUUCAUCAAUUCUGUCAUAUAUUAUUGAUUGUUAUGAUUAAUAUUAAAUUAAAUCUAUACUUGGAUUUAUAAAGUUUAUACAUGAUUAUCUUUGAUUCUAUGUCUUUCAUUAAAUUGUUUACAUGGAGUGCCUAGGAAAACUUUGACUCUUUGUUAUUCAAUAUGUUCACAUGGGAUACUUAGAUGUCGUACUAUUAAGCGGAAAAAGAACCUAUAUUAGAUUUAAUUAUUUGGGCUUAAUUGUUAUAUCCAUGAGAUGACAUAGAUUGAUUUCGAGUUGUCACUCUAAAAUUGGGGAUUAAUGAAUAUUUAGAUAAUUACUAGUUGAAUAGUGGUGGAUUCUGAAACCUUGGUAAUUUCUAUCUUAUUGAAUUCUCCUUUACUUUAAUUGUUUUCUUAGUUUAAUUAGUUUAAUUUCUCUUAAAACUCAAUUCGCUCAACUAGGUUAGAAUUAAUAUUAAUUUUAGAUUUAAAUUAGACUUUUCAAUUUAUAACAAUCCCUGUGGGAUCGACCUCGUUACCACUACUCUAUUUCUAGAUUCGUGCGCUUGCGAGUAUAUUAAAAUUUUCACAACAUUCGGCACUCUCACUCCUUAAGAGAGGUCAGGGGUUCAAGCCUCGCUCUCGUAUGGAGUCACCACUUUGACCAGCACUUUACCCCUUACAGACCGACCCGGUGCGAGCAUGAAUUAGUCUGGGUUGUGGUACGGGCUUAAAGGUGCCUCCCACAAUUGAGACCCACUCAGGACCACCUCGUGGUUCGGACAAAAAAAAAAUUGAAAUAAAUUAUCUCAAAAUAAUUACUAACCAGAAAAAACAAAGGGGUUUAACUAGGUUAUGCAUACCUUUGAAAAUUAUAUGUUGAUCGAUAAGCAUGAUGAUCACGAUUGAGGAGUUUAAUUAAAAUUUAUAAGAUUUUAAAAUUAAUCAGGGUUAAAUUCUAAAUUUUAGAAAGAGAGGUUUUGUGAGAAUGCUGAAAGGGUGUUAAUAGUUCCACUCUUUUUUAAAAAAACCAUAGUCAUCAUUUUUCCCGAUUUCUUCUUCCCAUCUCCAUCUUAUUUAGAAAUUUCCCAGAGCCUUUGUUUCCCACCAUUCAUUUUUCUUCUUUCUAAUUUAAGAUUAUAGUAUUAUAAAAAUAAUUACUCACAUUUUAUCAAACACCUCCAUUAUACCAAGGCCUUGUUUUAGUAGUAGGCUUUUAUUAUCUCAAUAAAAUUGAAAAAACAAAGCUCAAUAAUAUUGGAAAAAAAACCUACCCAUAUUUGUAACUUUAAUUUAUUAUUCUCCAUAGACCUACUUUUUAGCUUUGAAUUUUGUUGGAGCCAUAUAUAAACAGAAUAUGUUGAAAUCAGCACAAAAAAAAAACUAAUUAUAUAAUUUUUGUUCCCAAGGACACGACUGUGUGAUUUUUAAGAAGUUUUGUUUGGCUGGCCACUUAGGUUUAAAUCUUGGUGGAGAUUAGGGGUUAAGAAAUAAAUUUGGACUUUGCACACCCCUUUAACUUUUAAAAAGAAUGAAAAAAACUAAUUAAUUAAUCUUUAUUUUAUUUAUUAAAUGUCAUAAUCAUAUGCAUAUUUUAUUUGUUAUCUUUCUAUUUAAAAGAUAGGAGGGCAAAUAAAACUGAAAUAAAUGUUUAUCCCUAUCUCCAUCUUUCAAGUUCCAUAGUUAGGUGACCAGCUAAAGAAAAUUAAUUGAAAGUUACUCCAUCAAAUUAAAAAAAAUUAUUUAUUUAAUUUGUGGAGAUGUAGAAAAUCAAACCCCAUACCUUUUCGCAUGCAAAAGUGUCAACCUGGUCUAGCUAUGUUGCAACAGUAAACAUAUUUUAAUACAUGACUAUCAUCUUUUAUCCUAAAUACUACUAUAACUAUGGGUUCAGUUAUGCUGUAACUGUGGUAUGGUACCACAGUUGUUUUCAACCAUUAAAUUCAACUUAUAUAACUAUGCAACUGUAGAUCUAACGGCUGAAAGCAACUAUGGUACCAUACCACAGUUGCAACAUAGUUUUGCCCCUAUAACUCAUAACAUUCAAUUGAAAUAAUAAAUGUUAACACUUGGCUAUAAAUAAAGGUUUUGUACUUGAAUCUUCAUGCAUGACCUUCAUUCCUUUAUUGACUUUGCUAACACAGAUUUUGAGGCAUUAAAACUAAAUAAUAAUUGACUUUGUGGGCCGAGGAUGCCAGCAACAAGGAGACCACAAUUAUCACUAGUUAAGUUACUCUAAUUGCCGUUGUCUUAUAUUCAUAAAAUAUUAGUAAUAAGAUUAUUGUAGAAUUUUUUUAUAUUAAAAUUAAGUCAAUUUGUUAUAACAAAUUUAGUUGAGUUUAAUCGUGUUACUACAUACAUUGAAUAAUAAUAGAAUUCUCGACAAAUAUUUCAAUAUUUUUAUCCCAAGCGUUGGAGUGGCAUUUAUUUGUUAGACAAUCGAUUUUAGAACUUAUAAAAUUAUUCGUUACUGAAUUGCACCAUAUGCUGCAUGACCUGAAACUUAAUAAACGGAACGUAGCGUUGGCAACAUUCACUGUCAUGACUUUGUGACAUUAGAAUUAAAUUUUUUUGCACAUUUAAUUUGUUUACUUCCAAAUUAAUAUUUAACAAAAUAUUUUUUCACAUUAUCAAUGGACAAAACUCCAACGAAAAUAACUAUACAAUAUAUGCUAGUAUUGUAUGCCAUAUCAUCUGUAAUUUUGUCAGGAUCGAUCAUUUUAAUUUUUAAGCAAAACUUUUUAUCAAUGGACAAACACCUCACACAGCUUGUCAGAGGCAUUAUUAUGAUGGAAAACUGAUAAACAGUGAACUCGAAACUCAAUUACUACAAGUCGUUUAGAGGAUUCAGUCUUGGAUGACUUGUCACUUGUGGAAUUCUUGAAGCCAGAACCGACAUAAUCUCAGUCGUCAUUCUGUCUUAAGUAAUACACAUGGUUUGCAUGUGUGUUGAAGCUGACUCUUUGCUUGGAUCAAGAAACGACGUCUUUGAGUGCCGUUUCUUAAACACACUUUAAAUCAGCUUGUGUCAAGCACGUGAGGUAGAGCUUUUUGAAUAGAUUUGGCGGGAAUGGUAGUUAGUGUAACAACCCAGAAAUAGAGGUUAAAAGGUGAAGGCUUUGUCAUCAUCUACACAUGAUUUGGGAAACAUUGAGAGUAGAGAAAAAGAUAGAGAGAGAAAGGGGUUAACAAGUUCUUGUUCUCUGUAAAUCGAUUUAUAUUCUUGUAAAGUUUGUGAUCUCAAUUAGUGAAAGACUGUUGCUUUGUUUCCAGUGGAUGUAGGCACCACUUCUUGGUGCUGAACCACUUAUACUUGGUGUCAUAUUGUUUCUUUAAUGCUUUGAUUCUUGCGUGUGAUUGUUGCUGGAUAAUCUGUGCUGUUAAUUCUCAAACCAUUGAUACAGAAUUAAUGUCUUGGGGAGAAUUUGGUUAGUCUUAUCAAAGCCGAAUUCACAACAAAUUGGUAUCAGAGCCCUCUUUUCUGUAUCAAGGUUCAAGAAAUGACUAACAAGGUGGAUCUUGAGAAGUUCAAUGGUCAGAAUGAUUUCAAUAUGUGGAGGAUCAAGAUGGAAGCAUUGUUAAUCACACAAGGUCUGGGAGAUGCCAUUGAUCCAGUCAUUAAGAGUGAAAAUGCAGAAGCCUAUUCUUCAAGAACUCCAGAACAGAUGGCUAAGAUUGAAAAAAAGGCAAGAAGCACCAUCAUCCUCAGUCUUGGUGACUUAGUGAUAAGGGAAGUUGCCAAGAAAAAGACUGUUGCUAGGCUCUGGGCAAAACUGGAACAAUUGUAUAUGACAAAGUCCUUAGCAAACAGGCUAUACAUCAAGAAAAAGAUGUUCUCACUGAGGAUGAUUGAAGGAGCAUCACUUGAUGAACACAUAGAUGAGUUUAAUAAAGUUUGUGAUGAACUGGAAACAAUUGAUGAAGGACUGAGUGAUGAGAGCAAGGCUUUGCUGUUAAUCAGUUCUUCACCAAAAUCAUAUGAACAUUUUGUGGAUGCCUUGUUAUAUGGAAGGCAAUCACUCUCCUUGGAAGAGGUUAAAUCUACUCUUGGUACCAAGAAGUUAAAAGAAAAACAAGAUAACUCAGAGAGUGAAUCAAGUGAAGGGCUGAUGGCAAGGGGCAGAUCUGAAAAAAAGGAGUACAAAGGAAAAAAACAAGGGAGAUCAAAGUCAAAGCAGAAACAUUUGAAGUGUUUUCACUGCCACAAAGAAGGGCAUUUCAAGAGGGAUUGCCCUGAGAGAAAAACAAAGCAAAAGGAAUCAAAAGACAAAUCUGGAAAUACAGCAAUAGCCACAGAAGAAACCAGUUUUGAGAUAGCUGAAGUCCUCAUUGCCACAAAAGAAAAAAACUCAAGGUCAGUGGGUACUAGACUCUGGAUGUACUUUUCAUAUGAGUCCAAAUAGAAAUUACUUUACUACAUAUCAGUCCUGUGAUGGGGGUAUGGUGCUGAUGGGAAAUAAUUCAGUUUGUAAAGCAGUUGGGAUUGGGACUGUAAGCCUUAAGAUGUAUGAUGGCAUGGUUAGAGAACUAACUCAGUUUAGGCAUGUUCCUGAGCUUAAAAGGAACCUAAUAUCUAUUGGCAUGCUUGAUCAAACUGGAUGUGUCAAUAAGGCUGAAAAUGGGUCAUUGAAAGUUAUCAGAGGCUCAAUAGUCAUAAUGAAAAGUUCCAAGCAAAAUGGUUUGUAUGUGUUGAAUGGACAUACAACUGUUGGAGAGGCAAGUGUCACUGAGAAGAGUGAAGACAAAGCAAGACUAUGGCACUUGAGGUUGGGGCAUAUGAGUGAAAGGGGAUUGAAGGAGCUUCAAAAGAAUGGGGUGUUUGGAAGUGACAAGCUAAGUUCUUUGGGGUUCUGUGAAGACUGUAUCCUAGGGAAGGCUUCCAAUCUCAAGUUUGAAUCUGCAGUUCAUUCUACCAAAGAGAAGCUUGCAUAUAUACACUCUGAUAUGUGGGGGCCUGCACAGGUAAAUUCUCUUGGUGGCUUUAAGUAUUUCUUAUCCUUAAUAGAUGACUAUUCAAGGAUGGUUUGGGUGUAUGUACUCAAAACCAAAGAUGAAGCUUUGGAAAAGUUUUAGAGGUGGAAAAUUCUGGUAGAAACACAGACAAGUUUGAAAGUAAAAGCUCUAAGAACAGAUAAUGAAUUGGAAUUCUGCAACAAAGAGUUUGGAGACUUUUGUAAAAGACAUGAGAUUAUGAGGCACAAAACAGUCAUACACACACCUCAGCAAAAUGGUUUUGCUGAGAGAAUGAACAGAACCUUAAUGGACAAGGUGAGGUGUAUACUGCUAUACUCAAAGCUGCCUAAGUCACUCUGGGCAGAGGCCUUAAACACAGCAUGUUACUUGGUAAAUAUAAGUCCAUCUACAGCAAUAGAAUGCAAAACACCUAUCGAGCUAUGGUCUGGAAGGGUUGCAGAUUACUUUAAACUGAGAAUCUUUGGAUGUGUUGCUUAUGCAUAUGUCAAACAAGGCAAAUUGGAGCCAAGAGCUUUAAGGUGUAGAUUUCUAGGAUACCCUGAUGGAGUUAAAGGCUAUAGGCUAUGGUGCAUUGAUUUGAAGCCACCAAAAUGCAUUAUCAGCAGGGAUGUAACUUUCAAUGAGUCAGAAAUCUUGAACAAAUCCAAAACCACUUAAUCCAAAGAUCAUAUAUCAGAAACAAGACCUGGGAGUGUUCAGUUUGAGGUGGAGUCCUAUGAACAAGAUAGGACUGAAUCAGAAACUGAAGGAGAUUCAGGAAGGGUUACUGAUGGAUUUGAUGUUGUUCAGGAGUCAGAGCCAGCUGAGAAUGAAGAUAAUUCUUAUCAGUUGGUCAGGGAUAGAAAGAAGAGAGCUGUAAGACCACCUAAGAGGUAUACAAUAGCAGAUUUCAUAGCUUAUACAUUAACAGUUGCACAAGAGGUAAAUGAGGAAGAGCUAAGAACCUAUAAAGAAGCUAUAAACAGCAUGGAUAAGAUGAAAUGGAAGGAGGCUAUGGAUGAGGAAAUUGAAUCACUAAUGAAAAAUGGAACUUGGAAGCUGAUAGUUAGACUAGAAAAAAGGAAGACUGUUAGCUGCAAAUGGAUCUUCAAAGUUAAGGAAGGUAUAUCUGAUGCUGAACCUAGUAGGUUUAAAGCUAGGCUGGUAGCAAGAGGCUUCACACAAAGAGAGGGGAUUGAUUUCCAUGAAAUCUUCUCUCUAGUUGUGAAACAUGCCUCCAUCAGAGUCAUCUUAGCUUUAGUUGCCAUUCAAGACAUGUACCUGGAGCAUAUGGAUGUUAAAACAGCCUUCCUGCAUGGUGAAUUACAAGAAGAAAUUGUAAUGGAACAGCCUGGGGGGUAUGUGGUGUCUAGUAAGGAAAAUCAUGUGUGCUUACUAAAGAAAUAUUUAUAUGGAUUAAAGCAGUCUCCUAGGCAAUGGUACUUGAAGUUUGAUAGUUUUAUGACAAAACAUGCCUACAAGAAAUGCAAUUAUGAUUGUUGCGUGUACUUUAGGGACAUUGGUGAUGGAAAGAUGAUUUAUCUUAUGCUGUAUAUGGAUGACAUGCUUAUAGCAUGUCACAGCAUAGAUGAAAUCAGUCAUUUAAAGAAUCUCUUGAGCAGUGAAUUCGAUAUGAAAGAUCUUGGAGCUGUAAGGAAGAUCUUAGGUAUGGAAAUUAUCAGAGACAGGAGAAGGAAGCUUAUGUUUUUAACCCAACAGAGCUAUGUUAAGAAGGUGUUGCUUAGAUUUGGGAUGCAUGAAUCCAAGUCUGUUCAAACACCUUUGGCAAAUCACUUCAAGCUGUCUGCUGCACAUUGUCCACAAACUGAUGCAGAGCAAGGAAAAAUGGCAAGGAUACCUUACUCCAGUGCAGUUGGGAGCCUCAUGUAUGCCAUGGUUCUCACUAGACAUGAUAUCUCACAUGCUGUGAGUAUAGUGAGUAGAUUCAUGGCAAAUCCAGGUUAUGAGCAUUGGAGGGCAGUCCAGUGGAUAAUGAGGUACCUGAAAGGCACUAUGGAGUUUGGUCUGCUAUAUGGAGGGUUAAAACAGGAAGGGCACAAGCUGGUGGGGUAUGUUGACUCAGACUUCGCUGGAGAUCUUGAUAAAAGGAGGUCUCAGACAUGUUUUAUAUUCACUUUGGGAGGCUGCACUGUGAACUGGAAAGCUACUCUGCAAAGUGUGGUAGCUUUGUCCACAACUGAAGCCGAAUAUACAGCAGCUGCAGAAGCUUUUAAGGAAGUCAUCUGGUUAAAAGGAAUGGUCUCAGAGUUAGGAGCAAAACAAGAAACAGUUGAAGUAUACUGUGAUAGCCAGAGUGCAAUACAUUUGAGUAAAAACCAGACCCAUCAUGAAGGAACAAAACAUAUUGAUGUAAAGCUUCAUUUUGUAAGACUUGAAGUUUCAAAGGGAACUGUGAAGAUGCUCGAGGUUCACACUGAUCAAAAUCCAACCGAUAUGUUGACUAAAGCUGUGCCUUCUGCCAAGCUCAACUUCUGUUUGAGCUUAGCAGGAAUUUGCAGUUUCUGAUCAGCUGCAAAAGAAAGGGAAUAAAGUAUACAGGAGUAGCUAGAGUUCAGAGUUCACACUGAUUAAAAGGUGCAGGCUUUGUCAUCGUCUACACAUGAUUUGGGAAACACAGAGAGUAGAGAAAAAGAUAGAGAGAGAAAGGGGUUAACAAGUUCUUGUUCUCUGUAAAUCGAUUUCUAUUCUUGUAAAGUUUGUGAUCUCAAUUAGUGAAAGAUUGUUGCUUUGUUUCCAGUGGAUGUAGGCACCACUUCUUGGUGCUGAACCACUUAUGCUUGGUGUCAUAUUGUUUCUUUAAUGCUUUGAUUCUUGCGUGUGAUUGUUGCUGGAUAAUCUGUGCUGUUAAUUCUCAAACCAUUGAUACAGAAUUAAUGUCUUGGGGAGAAUUUGGUUAGUCUUAUCAAAGCCGAAUUCACAACAAAAACUGUAAUGGUAUAUCUUGAAUUAUUGGUAGAAUAGUUCUUUGGAGCAAUAAAAACAGAUAAGACAGAUGAGAAAAUUGUCAAUACCCCACCGCAAAAGCAAAAGAAAACAAGGAAAGGAGACAAAAGAGGAAGAAGAAAAAGAAAAAAGAACGAAGAAAAAAAUGGUGCCGUGCGGUAUAGGCAAGAAGAAAAAAUAAUAAAAAAUAAUAAAAUAAUAGUGCACAACAAUCAUUUGAUUGCUAUAAAUAAAAGGCGUUUCCCUCAUUUUAUUCAUCGAAUUCUUCAGUUCCUUUCAAGCGAUUUAAGAGUCUAGUGAUUUGAGAGUUUGGGUGUAGUAUGAUUUUGGGUAGUGAGCUAAAAUACUACAAUACUUGUAACUCAUUUUUAUUAGUAAAAUAUUUUCCUUCUGACUUCGCCCGUGGACGUAUGCUAAAAGCCGAAUCACGUAAUUUCUGGUGUCCCUAUGUGAUUAUGUGUCUCAUUAUUUCUUAAUUUCACUUUAGUUGCGUGUCUGCGACACCCCUCAAUUUAUUAACAAAAAAUGGCCAAAAUUAUAUAAGUGACCCAAAUUUUUUUGUUAUUUCCAAGAAAUCCCCAAUCUGAAUGGGCUAGACCAGAGGGAGGCAAGUUAGAAAUACAUUUCCUUCAUAGACAAUAACAGUGAUGAGUCGAUGACAUCAAGCCACGUCGGUAUCAAUAUUGAAUUAAAGGUGCAAUUAUUCAGCCAAUGAACCUUACACAUCAAGAUAAAAGUCAAGAAAAUGAAAAUUUAUCCCAAUUAAAACACUUUCUGGCUGCAUUUAGUUGUUUCCAUUAGAAGUUAAAAACAACGUUUCUUUCGUUUUGUGGGCAACUCAACUGAGUUAGCUGGCUUCUAGUGCUAGUAUGUGAAAAUAGAAGGCUAAUGAUUUAUUUAUUAUCUUUUGACAAAAUUAUUAAAGAUAUAAUAGAUUUUCUAUGAUACAAGUGAAAAAUCACAUCAACAUAGCUUUCAAUCUACAGCAGCUAGCGUUUACCAAACACUUUGUUGUAGCUUUUAAGCUAUAGCUGCCCAACCUCAAUCUCAAACGCACCCUUAAUAGGUUGAUUGAAUUUGUGAGAUAUGGAUUCCACAUAUCUCAUGACCUAGUAAUUAUACAAGUGGUUCGUGAUCAAGACACAACAUUUGCUUCCGGCCUAGUGACCCAGCAAUCGCUGCACUGGUCGCCACCUAUGGUGCCGACGAUAUUGCAUGGUCCAAUUGUGGCCUUGAAUGGAAAAAGUUGAGCAAAUUAUUUGUGGACACGAUGAUAAGUAACGCAAGCCUUGAUGCUAGUUAUGGUCAAAGAAAACAAGAGGUUAAGAAUACUAUCAGAGAUAUUCAUAACAACAAAAAGGAAAAAAAAAAGGCAUUUGCAAGCCCAUUGAUAUUGGUGAAUUGUCGAUUUCAACUUUGGCAUGUGUAAUCCAGAACCUGCGCGCUGUGGUAUGGCGCUGGCACGCUUGCAUUAACGAGGGGACAAGUCUUGGGGCUGAGCUAACAUUUAAGCUCGCAGAACUCAUGGUGCUAAUGGGAACACCAAAUAUUUUUUUGACAUAUUUUGGUGCUUUCAUGGUUUAAUUCAAGGUAUAGAAAGGAGUGUUGAGAAUGUCAAAUAAAACGGCAUUGAAUGGAAGUUGUCAAAGACACGAUCCGCACCGAACGGCAACGACACGGUUGCUAAAAAUCCUUCCAUAAUAUGCAUAUCUAAUUUUUUAAAAAGUGUAACCUCUGCAUUUAUAAAUAUACUCAAUGUAUAAUGUUUUACUUAAGAAAUGAAAAACUUGUUUGUUCAAGGAGAAUAAAGAAAAUUUUUCUAUGAUUUUUUUAUGGUUUGAACAAAGAAGGUUUUAAUGAGUAUUAUAGACCUCGAUUGAAUGUUCGAAUGUAUAAUAAAAGAGAAACUGUCACAUAAAUGACAAAGAUACUUGGAAAAAAAAAAAGGGCAGCAAUAGAGAAUUAGAUUCGACUGCACAAAUAACUAGUUAAUUCAUCAAUACAUCAUUUUCUUGCUAGAAAAUGACAAUUAUGACAGCAAGCCACGAUAGUGUCAAUAUUGAAAUUGAUUUGCAAUUAUUCAGCCAAUGUGCCUUACACGUCAAGAUAAAAGUCAAGAAAAUGAAAGUUAAUAUCAAUUAAAACACUUCCUGGGCCGCAUUUAGCUCCAGUUUUUGUGGUAGGAAAACAAAGUUUUGUUUUAAAUUCACAUGGUGUGCACUUCCUAUAUAAAUCUAGAGUUGUGUCCCACGUUGAACAAUAAAGGAAAGUCACCUAAAUAUACAUGUAGGAUAAGUUACUUUAUUUAGUAAGUUUGUAUUUUCUUCUUUCUUCUAGUUUACAUAUAAAUUUGAUUAGAUAACUUAACACAUAUUUUAAUACUUGAUCAGAAGCCCUACGUACAGGUGGAUCUAGAAACUUGAUUUCUAAGAGUAAUACUAUAAUAAAAAAAUAAUGAUUCAUAGAACCAAUAUCAAAAUUUGUUUACAAGAUUACCCCCACUCAAAGGUAAUUUUCAUAGAAAUUAAUAGGAAAUUUAAUUGUUAGUGGGGUCAAAUUGCCCCCACACUCUGAAUGUAGAUCCACGCCCGACCCUGAGUCAAGUAUAUUUUGCCACAUAUACUCUGAAUGUCGGCAGGAAAAAUCUUCCACUUUAGUUUAAAAUUUUCACUUAAAAUUUAUUUACGUUAAUAAAGUUGGUAAAGGAAAUGAGUUUAAUUAAAGAAUAUUAUAGGAGAAAUUCUAUUGUUUGGCUUUUAAUAAAUUAAUUAAUAGGUUUAAAAAGAUUAAUAUACAUCAAAAUAUUAUUAGUUGGUGGUGGUUCCACAUCGGACUAAGACGUGGCACCUUACUUGUGAGAUUAAGACAAUCAGGCUUAGACUAUUUAAAUAUGUUUGAAGCUUAGAUGGCACCGCUUCAAUUUGCAUUAAUGAAUGUCAUUCUUUACCCUAAUUACUACGUAAUUGAUAACAUGCAAUUGAAAUAACUAAUAUUAGCACUUGGCUAUAAAUGAACUAAAGGCCGUGCAAUUGAAUCUUUACUUGAUCACUUCAUUCCUUUAUUUUGCUAACACAGAUUUUGAGAUAUUAAAACGAAAUAAUAAUUGAAUCUGGCUUUGUGGGUCGAUGAUGCCAGCAACAACGAGACCACAAUUAUCACUUGUUUAUUUGCUGUAUUUGACGUUGUUUCAUAUUGGUAGUAAUAACUAAUAAGGUCGUUGUAGAGUUUUUAAUCUUUUUUUUUAUAUUAAUCACGAGGUAUCCUGGGGAGGGCCCCAACUGUGGGAGGCACCUUUAAGCUCGUACCACAACCCAGACUAGAAGUCCCCGCUCGAACCGGGAGGCACAGUUUUUAAUCUUUUUUAUAUUAAAGUUAAGUCAAUUUGUUAUAAAUAAAUAAAAAAUUGGUUGAGUUUAAUUAUAUUGCUAUGUACAUUAAAUAAUUAUAAUAUUCUCGAGGGAAAAAGACACCUAGAACCUCAAGGUUUGGGGAAAUGGUCACAAAAACUCCUAAGUUUUAAAAAAGGAACACUAAAAUCUUUUUUUACCCAUAAUACCCUUUGACUAUAGUAAUUAGAAAAUUGACUUUAAAGGUUUUUAAAUAAUACAAAUUUAAUAUAAAUCAUAUAAUCUAUCUAGUACACUAAUAAUAUUAAAUUAUUUUUUAUAUUUAAAAUAAUGUUAAAAAAUUUAAAUUAUUAUAUUUAUUUUAAUAAUAUAUUUAUAAAAUUAUAAAGAUUUUAAAUAAAUCUUUGGAUUGAAUAUAUUUUACAAUUAAAAGUCUUCCUAUUAAUAAUAUUAAAAUUAAAUUUUAAGUAAUAUAUAUUCAAAAUAUUUUUAAUUUAAUUUUAUUUAUUUUAAUAUUAUGUUUCUAUCUAUUAUUAAAAAUUACUUUAAUAUAAUAAAAUAGGUCUAAUAGAUUGAAAAAUAUGAAAAUAUUUUUAAAAUUUUAAAUUAUUUUGAAAUGUAUAUAUUAUUACAUUUAUUUCAAUGUCAUAUUUCCAUUUAUUAUAAAAUUUUGGGGUUAUUUUUUUGGGAAUUUAUAGAGUCAAAGAGCAUUAUGGUUAAAAAAGAGUCUUGGUGUCCCUUAUUGAAAACUUUAGAGUUUUUGUGACCAUUUUCCUAAAUCUUGGGGGUGUUGAAGUGGCACUUAUUGUAAGAUUGAUUUUAAAAUAUGUAAAAUUAAUUUUAUUACAUUACCAUAUGCUACAUCACCUGAAACUUAAUAAAUGGAACGUAGCAUUACUCCACGUUCACCGUUAUGACCUUAUGACAUUAGAAUUAAAAUCUUUCGUACGUUUAAAUUGUUUACUUCCAAAUUAAUCUUUCGUAAAUAUUUUGUACAGAUCUUAUCGGAGUUAGCGUGUUCAUUACAGUGUUUCUUUUCUUUUAUCCUUUCUUUUGAAACGUAUUUCCUGUGGACAAGGAAAGCAAAUAAUACCCUGCCACCAGGACCUCGCGGCUUGCCUGUAAUCGGAUACCUUCCAUUUCUCGGAAUUACUGACUUACACAAGACAUUCACGGAAUUAGCUGGUCUAUAUGGCCCGAUCUUCAAACUCUGGCUUGGCAACAAAUUGUGUGUAGUGGUUAGCUCGCCUUCAACUAGUUCUAUAAGAAUAUCCCUUUUAAGGGAUUCUCUCUCUGCAAAAUUUUUUUAUCUUCUGGUGCAUAAUAAAAACUUAUGCCACUUCAUUAACCACAGAUAUCUUUUGAGGAAACGAUGUUUCGUUUUCUUUUGUUUUUUCCUUCCUAAUCCUCGCAUAUCGUGUGAAGGCUAAUAUAUCCAAGAAUCUAAAUCUCUGUAAAUCUUUUUCUAUCCAAAUCUACAUAAUAAUUUAAUCCAUGCACAAUAUCUAUAAUUAUAUCGGCUGUCGGCUGAUUUCGUGGAGGGGGCGGCAGUUCAAAUUUUUUACGUGCAUGUUGGAUGGACGUCUCUAUUAAAGGAGAGCCACCACUUGCAUGGUAAUUUUUUUAAAUAAAUAUAUACAUUUCAAAAUAUUAUUUCAUUGUUGUAUAGUUAACAUGUCACCUUAGAUGUAUUUUAGAACUUCUCCUAUUAAAGAUAAUCUCAUGCAGUGAUACUUCUCGUGAUCUAAUCAUUAGUAGAAUCUAUAAUUUCGCUACUGUAAUAAAAUCUGUCCCUACCCUAUAUGAAUGUAGAUAUUUGACGCGAUUUGUAAUUGCUUCCGACAGGAAAACAGCAAUAGUUUAAUUGAAAUUUGUGGUAUGGAUUCCACGAAUCUUAUGACAGAAUACUGACCACUCCAACCCUAUCCACAUUUACACGAUUAAAACACAAGCUUAGAUGUGACAAUGCAUUUGUCACUUUUGUUCAAAUUCAUCCUGAAACACUAUACACUAAAUAAUCGAAUAUGGCUUCGUGGGUCGAUGAUGCUAGCAGCAACGAGACUGCAAUUAUCACUUGUUUUGUUGCUGUACUUGUCGUGGUCUAUUUCGCAUGGAAUGUAAACAAAUCAAGUAAAGCAAAUGCUAAAUUGCCACCAGGAUCUCGGGGCUUGCCAGUAGUCGGAUACCUCCCAUUUCUUGGAACUACUGACUUACACAAGACAUUCACGGAGUUAGCUGGAGUUUAUGGUCCGAUCUUCAAGAUUUGGCUUGGGAAUAAAUUGUGUGUAGUGGUGAGCUCGCCUACCCUAGUUAAACAAGUGGUCCGUGAUCAAGAUAUAACAUUCUCAAACCGCGACCCACCGAUCGCUGGAACUGUGACCACCUACGGUGGCAAUGAUAUUGCACUUUCCAAUUAUGGUCCCGAAUGGAAAAAGUUGCGAAAAUUAUUUGUGAGCAAGAUGAUGAGUAAUGCAACCCUUGAUGCUUGUUAUGCUCUAAGAAAACAAGAGGUUAAAAAUACUAUCAGGGAUUUGUACAACAACAAUAAGGAUAAUAUUGGCAGUGGCAAUGGCAAGCCCAUUGACGUUGGUGAAUUGUCGAUUUCAACUUUGGUACGUGUUAUGCAGAACAUGCUGUGGGGUCAAGCAUUGGAAACAAGAGAGAAAGAGAUUACUAAUCUCGGGGCUAAUCUUGCAGAACUCAUGGUGCUACUGGGAACACCAAAUAUUUCGGAUAUUUUUCCAGUGCUUUCAUUGCUUGACAUGCAAGGUAUAGAGAGAAGAGCUAAGAAGAUUUCUCUAUGGUUUGAAAACAUUAUCAAUUCUGGUGUUGAACAGUAUAGAAACAAGUUUUCUGUUGUUAAAGGUGAAGAAGCUGCAGCAGGAAAAAAUAUUGAACGAUCAAGAAAUAAGGACUUCUUGCAGUUACUGUUGGAGCUUCAGGAAAAUGAAGAUAGUGCUUCAUCUAUUAGCAUGAACCAACUAAAGGCCGUGCUCGUGGUAUGUUAAGCAACUAGACACAAAAAGUUGUAAAAGCACAGUGAUAUAUUUGCGCGAGGCCGCGAGUGAUGUUUUGCCUCGAGAACUCUCAAUUUUAUCUUACGGUAAAAAAUGUUUUUCAACUUUUUUUAAUUAGAAUUUUAUUGCAAUUUAUUUAACAGGACAUAAUUGUGGCCGGAACCGACACCACAACUACGAUGGUGGAAUGGACAAUGGCAGAGUUGAUGCAACAUCCACAAGUAAUGAAGAAAGUUCAAGAAGAAUUAGCUCAAGUUGUGGGCAUGGACAGUUGUGUUGAAGAAUAUCACUUGCCUAAAUUAAAUUAUUUAGAUGCUGUGGUGAAAGAAACAUUUCGUUUGCAUCCUGCGUUGCCCUUAUUGGUACCUCGCACGGCAAGCGAGAACAGCAAUAUUGGUGGCUAUACCAUUCCCAACGACACUAAUUUUAUGUUGAAUGUUUGGGCUAUUCACAGGGAUCCUCAACUUUGGGAUAAUCCCUUAGAUUUUCGACCUGAGAGGUUCUUGAAUGAUGAUAUCAUAAGCAAAUUCAAUUACUCGGGUAACAAUUUUCAGUACUUGCCAUUUGGUUCUGGUAGAAGGAUGUGCGCUGGCAUUCCUCUAGCUGAGAGGAUGUUGAUGCUUGUUCUGGCUUCGUUGUUGCACUUGUUUGAGUGGAAAUUGCCCCCGGGCACAAAGCUAGACUUAGCUGAAAAGUAUGGGAUUGUCAUGCGGAAAAAAGAGCCUCUGAUUGCUAUUCCAACACCAAGGCUACCAAAUUCAGAUCUCUACCAGUAAGAUCAAAAUGGUUGUGAUGAUAUUAUUUCCCAUUGUAUUGGAAUAUUUUUGUGUGAUUUGAAGUUCAAUCAUAAUAAAAUAUUUUAAUAAAAUGUCCUCGGUUGCUAAUUUUUCAAUAGUAUACUCUAUCAUCGUUUCUAACUGUCUUUUAGAGCCAUUUGGUCUAAUUUAUUUUUGAAUUAAAAUCCAUAAAUAUUUAAAUUUUUGAAUCAUAUUAAGAAUUAUCUGGAGUGUAUGGUCUGAUCUUCAAGUUCUGGCUUGUAAACAAAUUAGAGUUCUGAUAUUUGCCCCGGGUCAAACCCCGAAAUUAAAUAAAACGGCGUCGUUUUGUUUUUUUUUUUUUUUUUUUCUUUUUUACUUCUUCCAAACGUUGCCAUUUCACUUGUCAUUUGCAAGUGACUCCAUUGAUCCUUAGUUGAAACAGAGUUACACCGUAAAUCUCUUCCUCUUCGUUUCUUCGUUUCACCAGGGAACGAGACAGAUAAAAUCCAGCCAUUCUUCGACAUAACAAGAUAUCGAUUAGAAUCCAACGACAUAACUAUAAACCAUGACAUUGCGCUUGAUUUUGCGAAAUACCGAUUAAGAACCAGUAACUUUGAAUCCAAUGACCGUUAAGAGUUUGAAAUUGGUUUCAAAUGACUAAUGAGUUAUCAGAUUUCUUUGCGUCUACAUUUUCCUUGAAGGUUUCUCAGCAGCCAAACAAAUACAAAGCAAAUUGCAGAAGAAACACAUUUUGUUCCAAUGAAAAAUGUACGGAAACAUUUUAAAUAUGGAAAAUUACCUCAAAAUGAAGGCUCGCAAGAGAUUCGAGCAACAAAUUAGAUCAAAGGAACCGGCGCUGAGCAAGAAAGUGAGCUCAAAGAUUCCGAAACACAAACGUAAAUUCACAAAAAUGCAAAUCUAUGAUGAACGCCAAGAUCAAAAUUUUCGAAGAAAGGGAGCUGAAAAAAUAAAUGAAACGUCAAACUAGAUGACAAUGGAUUUGCUUCUUCAAAGGAGACAAUGAAAUUGUUACUAGAGACAGCUAGAGAAAUAGAGAGAGAGAGAGAGAGAGCUUGAAUUGGCUGUACCCCCACCAGAAAGUGGGUAGUGCCUUUUCCACUUGGACUUGAUAUGCGAAUCUGAAAAAAUCUGAACGAAGGACUGACUCAUCCCAGCUCGAAAGCAAACCAAGCUAGGACUGACUGAAAACGUUGCCGUUUGGAGAAGUUAAAAAAAAAAACUAAACAAAACGACGCCGUUUUGUUUAGUUUCGGGGUUUGACCCGGAAUUUGACCCGGGGCAAACAUCAUUUUCCAACAAAUUAUGCAUGGUCGUGUACACGCUUUCCCUAAUUAAGCAUGAGGUUCGUGAUCAAGGCACAACAUUCACUCCCUGCGACCCAACAAUCGCUACAUUGUUUGCCACCUAUAGUGCCAACGAUUUUGCACGGUCCAAUUAUGGUCCCCAAUCGAAAACGUUGCGCAAAUGUUUUCUGGGCAAGAUGAUAAGUAACGCAAGCCUUGAUGCUUGUUAUGGUCUAAGAAAACAAGAGGUUAAUAUAUAUAUAUAUAUAUAUAUAUAUAUAUAUAUAUAUAUAUAUAAAUUGGCAUUGUCAACUUUUGUAUGUUUUAUUCAGAACCCGCUGUGGGUUGACGCUAGCAUGCUUGCGUUAGGAGACGAGGGGACCAAUCUUGGGGCUGAGCUAAAAUAUAAGCUUGUAGAGAUCAUCUUGCUAAUGGUAAUGUUUUCCGAUGCUGGUUUAAUUCAUGGUAUAAAAAGGAGAACAAAAAAGAUUUUUCUAUGCUUUGAAAAUAUUAUAAUUUUUAUUUUAUAAUUUUUAAUAAAAUCUCUCAUUGAUAGCCAAACAAUUAAAAUUUUUGUAAAGCUUUUGUGGACUUUUGAUCGCGUAUGGUGCCAAUGUAUUGCGUGGUCCUAUUAUGGUUCCAAAUGGAGAAAGUUGCACAAGUUUUUUGAGUACCAGAAGAUCAGUAAUGUAAGCCUUGAUGGUUGUUAUGGUCUAAGAAAACAAGAGGCUAAAAAUUCUAUCUGGGAUUUUUAUAACAACAACAAAAUUGGCAAGCCCAUUGACAUUGGUGAAUUGUCAGUUUCAACCUUGGUAAGUGCGAUUCAGAACAUGCUGUGGGGUGAAACGCUUGAAAUAACAAAGAAAUGGAUUUACUAAUAUUGGGGCUGGGCUAAGAUUUAAGCUUGCAGAACUCACGGUGCUAGAGGGAACACCGAAUAUUUUGGAUAUCUUUCCAGUGCUUUCAUGGUUUAAUAUACAAGGUUUUCAGAGAAUAGCAAAGAAGAUUUCUCUAUGGUUUUAAAAUAUUAUCAAUUCUACUGCUGAACGCUAUAGAAACAACGUCUCUAUUGUCAAAAGUGAAGAAGCAGCAGCAGCAGGGAACAAUAUUGAAGGAAGGAAUAAGGACUUGGUGCAGUUACGCUUGGAGCUUCAAGGUAAAGAAGACAAUGCUUCAUCAAUUAGCAGGACGCAAUUUAAGAGCUUGCUCGUGGUAUGUUGCGCAACUAGCCACAGACAGUUACAGAAACUGAGUUUGGCAGAUUACGACCGUUUCUGGUGAUUACAUAAUUAUUUGUGGCUGUUUUUUUUUUUUAAUUGUAAUUUUCUUAACAGGAUAUAAUUUAGGGUGGAACCAACACCACAACUAUAAUGGUGGAAUGGACAAUGGCAUAAUUGAUACAGCAUCCACAAGUAAUAGAGAAUGUACAGGUAGAACUAAAUCGGGCCGUGGCCAUCGACAGCCAUGUUGAAGAAUUUCACCUAGCUAAGUUAAAAUAUUUAGAUGCUGUGGUGAAAGAAACAUUCUGCACUGUAAUAUAAUACAUGAAUCAUAUGUCCUCUAUUGUUUUUUUAUUUUUCUCUUUUUUUCAAUAGCUUAAUCUAUCAUUAAAAUCUUCUGAAAUUCUAAAUUAAUAUACAUUCAACCUAGAGUUCAAGCCAAAGUUUUAUUGAGCAUUAAAAAAAAAAAAAAUUCUACGACUCAAAAUUUUGUGGAGUAUAAAUUAAAAAUUAUGCGCCUACUAAGAGACAAAAAAUAAAUGAUACACAUUAACCAAUCAAAGGCGAACAAGAGAUUAUUAACAAUAACCUAAUAAUAAAAUUAUAAUGAAUAAAAAAGAAAUGGUACCUAGAAACACAUCACAGCCAUUUAAGCAAUCACUUACCCACAAAAUCCAAACAUAUAAACUAUGUGGGGGGGGGGGGGGGGGGGGGGGGUGUCAUGAUACCUUUGGGUUUCAUGAUAAUCAAAAUUGCAAUACCAUUAAAGACUCAAAAAUAAAAAAAAUCAUAGCCAAUAAAAGAGAAAAAAUAACCCACAAAAAAUCAUCAAGAAAAUAAAUUUGAGACUAAGAGAAGAUAUUAAUUAAACCCUGGGUUGCCUUGGAACCACGGCUUUGGCUUCCAUUUUUCAAUUCUUGGCGACAAGUCAUUUCUUGUUUGUUUACAAAGAUGACGGCUGAUUAAUGAAGCUCUAUUAACAAUGAAUAAAUAAAAAAACUGGCGCCUUGAAAAGACUAACGGUCAUAUUUUUCAACUCCGAAUUAGUGCCGUUUGAUGAGUCCUUGCCAAAACAAUCACUAGGCAAAUAACAAUCAUUUUUCAACCAGCAAAACUCAUUCAUUGUAUUUCACCUUAGUCAAGAUUUAAAAAUUGUUUCAAAAUAAACCUAGUGGUUAGAACCCAAGCGUCACAAUUGUGAGGUCAUGGGUUUGAGCCCCCACAACGUAUUGUGGGGGUUAAUUUUCUUCUUCAAUUUGAGUGAAAACAGUUCUCUCCCUUUCGAAAUGUGGGUGGAGUGGACGUCCCUCAAAUAUUAGAGAGGGUUCAAAUUUGGAUUGUACUAUAUAAGAUUUAUAAAUUAGUCCCAGUAAUUAUCUGAUUGUAAAUAUCAAUAUACUAAUCUAAUUAAAUAUGAGUUGUAAUAUGAGCGUUAGUCUCAUGUAAUUAAAAAAAAAAUGUUUCAAAAUAGGAUUCUUAAAAGGUUGGGGAAAUGGCCAUCAAUAUCCCCAACUUUCCAAAAAGAGACACCAAGACCCAUUUUGACCAUAAUACCCUUUACUUCUAUUAUCCCCAAAAAAUUGACUCUAAUGUUUUAUAAUAAAUAAAAAUAUAACAUUAAAAUAAAUGUAAUAGUAUAUACAUUUUAAAAUAGUUUCAAUAUCUAAAAACCAUUUUAAUAUUUUAAAUCCUAUUAUAUAUAUAUUAAAGUAAAUUUUAUAAUAAAUAGAAUCAUAAUAUUGAAAUAAAUGCAUUAAAAUUUAAAUUAUUUUUAAUAUUAUGUAAAAUAAUAAUUUUAUCAUUAUAAGUAUAUGAGAAUUUUUUUAAUUGUAGAAUGUAUUUAAUGCAAAUAUUUAUUUAAAAUCUCUACAAUAAAUAAAAAUAUACUAUUAAAACAAAUCUCUACAAUAUAUACAUACAUACAUAUACAUUGGCCUGGUAUUUUAUUUUUCAUUUUUUAAACUUAUUAAAUCCUCUAACUAUCAUUUGAUUAUUUUUUUCAAUGAUGAAGAGGCCAUUGCCGGAUAAAUUAUUAAAAUCAACUAGUUCUACAAGAAUGUCCCUUUUUAAAGGAAGAUGAUUCUCUCUCUCGAAAUUUUUUAUCUUGUGCUACAAACUAAAAACUUAUGCCAUUUCAUUAACCACAGAGAUCUUUGAGGAAAUGAUGCUUCGCCCCCCCCCCCCCCCCCCCCCCCCCCCCCCCCCCCCCGCGGCGCCAAAAAGUGUCCUUCCAUAUUUUGUGAAGGCUAAUACAUCGAUGAAUCUAGAUUUCUUUAAAUUUUUUGUUUUACUCAAUUCGAGAUAAUAAAUAGUUUAUCUUUAUUAAAUCUUUACUUUAACAAUGAUAGAUAUUCAAUCCAUGCAAAUAUCUAUCAUUGUAUGAGCUGAUUGCGUGGAGGGAGCGGUAAUUGAAAUCUAAUUGAAAACAGCAGAAGGCUGUUCUUGACAGAUCUCAAAUAUAUUACGGACACGUUGGGAGACAUCUCUAUCAUAGAUAUCCCCAUGCAGUGAUAUUUGUCGUGAUCUAAUUUUUAGUAAAUCUGUAAGAGAGAUUGUAACAUCUUUCAAGUUUUUUGGUUUGAUAUUCUAGACGAAAACGGUUUGUCGUUUCUUGAGCAAACGGCUAACCGUUUAAGUCCAGAGAGCAUGUUUGUUGUUCUGGAUAAAACGGCUCACCGUUGUUGCGAAAACGGCUAACCGUUUAACUCAAGAGAGCAUGUUUUAUGUUCUAGAGAAAACGGCUCACCGUUAUUGAGAAAACGGCUAACCGUUUAUUUACAGAGAGCAACGUAUUUGAUAUUCUGGAAUAAAAUGGCUCACCAUUUAUUGAGAAAACGGCUAACUGUUUAUUUCCAGAAAGGCGUCAAUUAGAAAAACGGUUAGCAAGAAUGAAAAUUUCAAUUGACAAUCGAUGCAAAUUCAAACCAAAAGAGUGUCUUCGAAAAAGUACCAUUUCUAAUGGUUGUAUUCUUUCAAAUAAACAUCUUCUUCAUUAAAGAAAUACACACAAUUAGAUUGAUAAUCAGAUUUUGACAGGUUUCUUAUAUGUUCUGGAAAUACAAUCUUAUUUGCUAGAGAUUGUAUUCAGGAUUUGUUAUAUCUUGGGGGUAAUUUGCCAUUAAAACUAUAUAGCAAACCAAGAUUGGUGAGGGCAAAUAAAACCUUAAAGGAAAGUAUGCAAACACGUCUCAAAUCCUAUGAAACUUUCUUUGUUCUUUGCCUCCAUAUUCUUAUUAUUCACUAACAAAAUCCCCAUGCAGUGAUAUUUGUCGUGAUCUAAUUAUUAGAAAAAUCUAUGAUUUCGCUACUGUAAUAAAAUUUGUCACUACUCUACAUUAAUCUAAAUGUCUGAUGAGAUUUGUAAUUGCUUCCGACGGGAAAACAGUUAAUAGGUUGAUUGAAUGUAUGUGGUAAAGAUUCCACGUAUCUCACGACAGAAUGCUGACCACUGGAACCCUAUCUACUUUUACGCGAUUAAUUCACGAGCUUAGGCACGACAAUUGCAAUACAAAUUAUCCCUUCAUCAUAUAUUUCGUUAAAAUUCAUUCUGAAGCACUAAAACUAAACAAUCGAAUAUGGCUUUGAGGGUCGAUGAUGCCAGCAGCAAUGAGAGUGCAAUUAUCACUUGUUUAGUUUCUGUGCUUGCCGUGGCUUAUUUAGCAUGGAAUGUGAAAAAAUCAAGGAAAGCAAAUGCUAAACUGCCACCAGGACCUCGCGGCUUGCCUGUAGUCGGAUACCUCCCAUUUCUCGGGACUACUGACUUGCACAAGAAAUUCACGGAAUUUAUUUUACUAUUAUAUUUAUAUUCAAAAUAAUUUUAAUUAGCUUUUAAAAUGAAUGAUUUUAGGAAAUUAUAAAUAAAGGUAACUAAGAAUUCUCUUAAUGUAAUAUAUUAUUAAUUAGUUUAAAAAUACAAAUUUAUUAAUUAGAGAAAUUAUUAGUGAAUUUAAAUUAAUGAUCUUAAUGAUUUGUUUGUACGAUUGCCCCCAAUCAAAGGUAAUUUUCCUAAAAAUUAUUAGGAAAUUAGAGAAAUUUAAUUUUUUUAGUGGGUUCAAUUGCCCACACACCCCGACUGAAGCAUUUUUUACAAUAUGUACUCCGUUUGUCGGCAGGAAAAUAAAGGUCUUGACACAUGAUCACUUCACUCCUUUAUUUACUUUGCUAACGCAGAUUUUGAGGUAUUAAAACAAAUAAUAAUUGAAUAUGACUUUGUGGGUCGACGACGCCAGCAACGAGGAGACCGCCAAUUAUCACAUUUUAAGUUUGCUGUAAUUGCCGUUGUUUUAUAUUAGUAGAAUAUUAGUGAUAAGAUAAUUGUAGAGUUUUCAUUUUUUUAAUAUUAAAAUCAAGUCAAUUUAUUAUAAUAAAUUUAGUUGAAUUUAAUCGUAUUACCACAUAAAUUGAAUAAUAAUAGAAUUCUCGACAAUAUUUCAAUAUUUUAAUCUCAAGCAUUGGAGUGGCAUUUAUUUGUUAUACGGUCGAUUUUAGAAUUUAUAAAAUUAUUCGUUGCUGAAUUGCACCAUAUGCUGCAUAACCUGAAACUUAAUAAACGGAACGUAGCGUUGGCACCGUUACUCAACAUUCACUGUUACGACUUUGUGACAUUAGAAUUAAAAUCUUUUCCACAUUUAAUUUGUUUACUUCCAACUUAAUAUUUAACAAAAUGUAUGUUAGCAUUGUAUGCCAUAUCAUCUGUAAUUUUGUCAGGAUCGAUCAUUCUAAUUUUUAAGCAGAACUUUUUGUCAAUGGACAAACACCUCAUACAGCUUGUCAGAGGCAUUAGUAUGAUGUAAAAUUGUAAUGGUAUAUCUUGAAUUAUUUUAGAAUAGUGAAUAACUAUUUGGAGCAAUAAAAACAAAUAAGACAGAUGAGAAAAUGGCUAAAAUUAUAUAAGUGACCCAAAAUUUUUUGCUAUUUCCAAGAAAUCCCCAAUCUGAAUGGACCAGAGGGAGGCAAGUUAGAAAUACAUUUCCUUCAUAGACAAUAACAACGAUGAGUGGAUGACAUCAAACCACGUUGGUAUCAAUAUUGAAAUAAAGGUGCAAUUAUUCAGCCAAUGAGCCUUAGUACACAUCAAGAUAUAUAAAAGUCAAGAAAAUGAAAAUUUAUCCCAAUUAAAACUCUUUCUGGCUGCAUUUAGCUGUUUCUGUUUAGGGAUGGCAAUUUAAUCCGGACCCAGCCCGACCCGGAUGAAUCCAGAAAAUUCGGGGUGGAUUCAACCCGUACCGGAGUGAAUAAAAUCUGAUAUUCAAAUUCAAUAUUUUCAACCCGGACGUUUCCGAGUCCGGAUCCGGAUUUGGGUAAACCCGCAUAUCCGGAACCCGGAUCCGGAUAACUAUUUUAAUAUUAAUUUUUAAAUCAUUUUAAAAUAAAAAAAAAUUAGAAAAAAUCAGCCCUAAUGCCCUUCCACAGCCACGGCAGCCAAACCAAACCCAGACAUUUCCUCUCUCUCUCUUUAGCCCUUCUUUUCAACAAAUCAUCAUCGUUGCUCAUCAUCGUUUCGUCGUGUUCAUCUUCAUCUUCAUCAUCAGCUGCCGUUUGUCCAGCUAUGUCACUAGUUUUGGCCGCCGUUUCCGUUUGUGCACCUUCGCAAAUCGGGAUCUCGAUUUGGCCGCCAACACUUCUACCCCCUGGUGUUUUGCUUUGUCCUCGACAACUUCUUUGUUGAUAAAUUGACGGGCACUUAUGAAUGCAUUUGUCUCUGUUUCUUCAUUUACACCUUCCCAGUUGUUUGUUCAUUUGCUUUUUGGAAGGAAAAAAAAAAAAAAUCAGCCACCAUUUAUCCUUCCCCUUUUCUUGACCUAACCCCACAAAGCCCAAUUUGUCAUCAUCAUUCAUUGGCAAAUUUGUUAUCAUCAUGGUUGAGACAUCAUGAUUAUCUUUGAUAAUUGAAUUUGUGUAAUAUGUUACCUUGGAUUUUAUUUCUAAGUAUUUGAUUUUGAAUUAUUUUCCAUUAUUGGUGUUAAUAGAUAGAAGAUUAGAAAGGAAUUCUUCACUGAAUAAAGAGAUGGGAAAUUGCAUCUUUUAGCAAUCAUCCGGGUUAUAAACCCGGAAUCCGGAAACCAGGAUUUUUCCGGGUUUAACCCAGUCCGGACCCGAAUGAAAAAUAUCCGGGUUUACAUCCGGGUCUGGUAUUAAAAUUUAUCGUCCGGAUCCGGAACAGGGAAGACAAAACCCGGACCCGAACCCACAUUUUGCCAUCCCUAUUUCCAUUUGAAGUUAACAACAACGUUUCUUUCGUUUUGUGGGCGACUUGACUGAGCCAGCUGGAUUCUAGUGCUAGUAUGUGAAAAUAGAAGGCUAAUGAUUUCACGUUCACUAGCCCACCUCCCCUCCUCUCGUUUCCUCUGAAUCAAUUUUCACGUGUGGUACCGAUUGAAAAUAUCUCUGACAUUUCGUGGACAUCUCUAUUGAAAAUAUCUCAGACAUUUCACUCAGGCAAACUUAUUAAUAUAAAAAAUCUAUGAUUUUUUCGUCUUAUACUGUAGAAAAAUUUGUCUAUACAUUAAUCUAGAUGUUUGAGGUGGUUUAUACAUCUGUGGUAUAGAUUUAUAGGUUGAUUGAUACGUCUGUGGUAUAGAUUUUAUGUAUUUCAUUAUCAAAUGCUGGCCUUUGGGACCCUAUCUACAUCUAUUUAUAAAACUAACGGGUGCCAGUUAUGCCAUUACAAAUUAUCCCCUCUUCAUACAUUUCCUUAAAAUUCUUCUGAAACACCAAAACUAAAUAAUCGAAUAUGGCUUUGCGGGUCGAUGAUGCCAGCAACAAUGAGGCUGCAAUUAUCACUUGUUUAGUUUCUAUGCUUGCCGUGGUUUAUUUCGUAUGGAAUGUGAACAAAUCAAGGAAAGCAAAUGCUAAACUGCCACCAGGACCUCGCGGUUUGCCUGUAGUCGGAUACCUCCCAUUUCUCGGAACUACUGACUUGCACAAGAAAUUCACGGAAUUAUCCGGAGUUUAUGGUCCGAUCUUCAAGCUCUGGCUCGGAAAUAAAUUAAGUGUCGUGGUGAGCUCACCUUCCCUAGUUAAACAAGUGGUUCGUGAUCAAGAUACAACAUUCGCAGACCGUGACCCGCCGAUCUCAGGACUAGUGACCUCCUUUGGUGGCAAUGAUAUUACAUGGUCCAAUUACGGUCCCGAAUGGAGAAAGUUGCGCAAAUUUUUUGUGGGCAAGAUGAUGAGUAACGCAAGCCUUGAUGCUUGUUAUGCUUUAAGAAAACAUGAGGUUAAAAAUACUAUCAGGGAUUUGUAUAACAACGGCAACAAAAUUGGUAAGCCCAUUGACAUUGGUGAAUUGUCGAUUUCAACAUUGGUAUGUGCUAUGCAGAACAUGCUGUGGGGUGAAGCGCUUGAAUUAAAAGAGAAAGGGACAACUAAUCUUGGGGUUGAGCUAAAAUUUAAGUUUGCAGAACUCAUGGUGCUACUGGGAACACCGAAUAUUUCGGAUAUCUUUCCAAUGCUUUCUUGGCUCGACAUACAAGGUAUAGAGAGGAGAGCAAAGAAGAUUUCACUCUGGUUUGAAAAAAUUAUAAAUUCUACUGUUGAAAAGUAUAGAAGCAAGGACUUUAAUGUUGAAGGUAAAGAAAGAGCAGGGGAAAAUUUUGAAGGAUCAAGGAACAAGAACUUCUUGCAGUUACUAUUGGAGCUUCAAGAAAAUGAAGACGGUUCUUCCUCAAUUAGCAUGAACCAAUUUAAGGCCGUACUCGUGGUAUGUUAAGAAACUAGCCGCAAACAGUUAUACAAGCACAGCUGUAUAUUUUGCAUGAGUGAUAUUUUCAACCUUUUUUUUUUAUAAUUAGAAUUUUAUUGUAACCUUUUGGACAGGAUAUAAUUACGGCUGGAACCGACACCACAACUACGAUGGUGGAAUGGACAAUGGCAGAGUUGAUGCAGCAUCCACAAAUAAUGAAGAAAGUUCAGGAAGAAUUAGCUCAAGUUGUGGGCAUGGACAGUUGUGUUGAAGAAUUUCAUUUGCCUAAAUUGAAAUAUUUAGAUGCUGUGGUGAAAGAAUCGUCUCGUCUGCAUCCUGCAGUGCCUUUAUUACUACCACGCAGAGCAAGCGAGAGUGGCAGCAUUGGUGGCUAUAACAUUCCCAAAGAUACAACUAUUAUGUUGAAUGUUUGGGCAAUCCACAGGGACCCUAAACUUUGGGAUAAUCCCUUAGAAUUUCGACCCGAGAGGUUUCUAGAUGAUGGUAUCGCGAGUAAGUUCGAUUACUCAGGUAACAAUUUUCAGUACUUGCCAUUUGGUUCUGGUAGAAGGAUGUGUGCUGGGAUUCCUCUAGCUGAGAGGAUGCUGAUGUUUGUUUUGGCUUCGUUAUUGCACUCAUUUGAGUGGGAAUUGCCAGCUGGCACAAAGCUAAACUUAUCUGAAAAAUUUGGGAUUGUCAUUAAGAAAAAAGAGCCUUUAGUUGCUAUUCCAACACCAAGACUAUCCAAUUCAGAGCUCUACCAUUAAGACAGAAUGGUUGUGAUGAUUUUGUUAAUUUCCGAAGAUUUGUAUGUUAUGUCAAGUUCAAUCGUAAUAAAAUAUUUCAAAUAAGAGUCCUCCGUUGCUUUUUUUUUUUUUUUCAACCGCAUAAUCUGUCGUCAUGCUUGUAUUUGGGGCUACUUUGGAAUAAUUAUGUUUGAAUUACAAUAUAUAAAUAUUACAUUUUAAAAUUUUAUGAGAUUCUAAAUUUAUACACGUUCAAUAACCCACUUCAUAUAUGUUUAACACAAUUUAUAUCAUACAUUGUAUACCCAUUUGUCAUAAAUUACGCUAUUUUAUAUCUCUAAAUAAUAUUACAUAUUGAUAUUAUAAAAUGUUGUUAACUCACGUGUGUAUAUAUAUAUAGCAAGUCACGUGCAUAUAUUAUUGGUUGUUAUAUGUUUGCUAGUUUGAUAGGAUUUCCUUUCCUUGUGAACUAGGGUAAUUCUUAUGUACAUAUAAAUAUUGAUCAAUAAGAGUGCAGAUGAUGACUGCAGUUUUGCAUCGUAGAAAUUCUUCGUAAAAUAUAUAUGUUUAUCAAAAGGCUAUACCAUUCAAUAUAUAUUGGAAAGAGAACAAAGAAGAUCUUCUUAUGGUUUGAAAAUAUUAUGAAUUCUGCUGUUGAACAGUAUGGAAACAAGGUCUGUUGUUAAAGGUGAAGAAGUCACAGGGAACAAUAUUGAAGGAAGAAAUUUCACGUUUAGUUGCUGAAUUUGCCGCUGUAUUCUAUCGGUAGUAAAAAGAUUAGAGUUUUUAUUUUUCUCUAUUAAUGUUAAGUCAAUUUUCUAUAACAAAUUCGGUUGAGUUUAAUUGUGUUACAAUAUAAAUUGAAUGAUAGUAGAAUUUUCAACGAAUAAUUCAAUAUUUCUAUCUCGAUUGUUGAAGUGCCAUUUAUUUGUUAUACGAUCGAUUUUAAAAUUUAUAAAAUUAUUUGUUACUAAAUUGCAUCAUAUGCUAAAUCACCUGAAACCUAAUUUCAUAACUAACCCUUUAUUUUUAGUUCUCAAGAAAUCUUGUAAGAACAAAAUUCUUUUGUAACAAAACGUUUACAACAAAUUAAUUUGUAACUCAUUCCUGUGCGAGAAUCACUCUCAAUUUCCUUCAAUUGCUGUUUAACAAUCAUCUGCUUAUCAAAAUUCAAGCAUAAUCUUUUUUUUUAAUUUCUUCAUCAUUCUUUUGAAAAAAAAAAUCAGGAUAUGCUGUUAAAUUUUGAAAUAAAUUAUCUCAAAAUAAUUACUAACCAGAAAAAACAAAGGGGUUUAACUAGGUUAUGCAUACCUUUGAAAAUUAUAUGUUGAUCGAUAAGAAUGAUGAUCACGAUUGACGAGUUUAAUUAAAAUAUAUAAGAUUUUAAAAUUAAUCAGGGUUAAAUUGUGAAUUUUAGAAAGAGAGGUUUUGUGAGAAUGUUGAAAGGGUGUUAAUAGUUCCACUCUUUUUAAAAACAACCAUAGUCAUCAUUUUUCCAUGGUUGUUUUUAAAAAGAGUAUUUCUUCUUCCCAUCUCCAUCUUAUUUAGAAAUUUCCCAGAGCCUUUGUUUCCCACCUUUCAUUUUUCUUCUUUCUAAUUUAAUAAUCCACCCUUCUUGUAUUCAAACUAAAAAAUUAAAAUCUGAAAAUUUAAAACCCAAUAUUAUAGUAUUAUAAAAAUAAUUACUCACAUUUUAUCAAACACCUCCAUUCUUCCAAGGCCUUGUUUUAGUAGUAGGCUUUUAUUAUCUCAAUAAAAUUGAAAAAAAAAAUCUCAAUAAUAUUGGAAAAAAACCCUACCCAUAUUUGUAACUUUAAUUUAUUAUUCUCCAUAGACCUACUUUUUAGUUUUGAAUUUUGUUGGAGCCAUAUAUAAACAGAAUAUGUUGAAAUCAGCACCCAAAAAAAAAAAAACUAAUUAUAUAAUUUAUGUUCCCAAGGACAUGGCUGAGUGAUUUUCAAGAAGUUUUGUUUGGCUGGCCACUUAGGUUUAAAUCUUGGUGGAGAUUAAGGGUUAAGAAAUAAAUUUAGACUUUGCACACCCCUUUAACUUUUAAAAAGAAAUGAAAAAAUUAAUUAAUUAAUCUUUAUUUUAUUUAUUAAAUGUCAUAAUCCUAUGCGUAUUUUAUUUGUUAUCUUUCUAUUUAAAAGACGAGGGCAGAUAAAACUGAAAUAAAUUUUUAGCCCUAUCUCCAUAUUUCAAGUUCCAUAGUUAGGUGACCAGCUAAAAAAAAUUAAUUGAAAGCUACUCCAUCAAAUUAAAAAAAUUUAUUUAUUUAAUUUGUGGAGAUGUAGAAAAUCAAACCCCAUACCUUUUCGCAUACACUGAACAUAUUUUAAUACAUGACUAUCAUCCUUUAUCCUAAAUACUACUAUAACUAAUAACAUACAAUUGAAAUAAUUAAUGUUAACACUUGGCUAUAAAUAAAGGUUUUGUGCUUGAAUCUUCACGCAUGACCUUCAUUCCUUUAUUGACUUUGCUAACACAGAUUUUGAGGCAUUAAAACUAAAUAAUAAUUGACUUUGUGGGCCGAGGAUGCCAGCAACAAGGAGACCACAAUUAUCACUUAAGUUACUCUAAUUGCCGUUGUCUUAUAUUCAUAGAAUAUUAGUAAUAAGAUUAUUGCAGAAUUUUUUUAAUAUUAAAAUUAAGUCAAUUUGUUAUAACAAAUUUAGUUGAGUUUAAUCGUGUUACUACAUAAAUUGAAUAAUAAUAGAAUUCUCGACAAAUAUUUCAAUAUUUUUAUCCCAAGCGUUGGAGUGGCAUUUAUUUGUUAUACGAUCGAUUUUAGAACUUAUAAAAUUAUUCGUUACUGAAUUGCACCAUAUGCUGCAUGACCUGAAACUUAAUAAACGGAAUGUAGCGUUGGCACCGUUACUCAACAUACUGUUACGACUUUGUGACAUUAGAAUUAAAAUCUUUUGCACAUUUAAUUUGUUUACUUCAAAAUUAAUAUUUAACAAAAUAUUUUUUUCACAUUAUCAAUGGACAAAACUCCAACGAAAAUAACUACACAAGAAAAAUGUAUGCUAGUAUUGUGUGCCAUAUCAUCUGUAAUUUUGUCAGGAUCGAACACUCUAAUUUUUAAGCAGAACUUUUUAUCAAUGGACAAACACCUCACACAGCUUGUCAGAGGCAUUAUUAUGAUAGAAAACUGUAAUGGUAUAUCUUGAAUUAUUGGUAGAAUAGUUCUUUGGAGCAAUAAAAAUAGAUAAGACAGAUGAGAAAAUUGUCAAUACCCCACCGCAAAAGCAAAAGAAAAAAAGGAAAGGAGACAAAAGAGGAAGAAGAAAAAAAGGAAAGGAGACAAAAGAGGAAGAAGAAAAAGAAAAAAGAACGAAGAAAAAAAUGGUGCCGCGCUGUAUUGGGAAGAAGAAAAAAAUUAAUAAAAUAAUAAUAAAUAAUAAAUAAUAAAUAAUAAAAUAAUAGUGCACAACAAUCAUUUGAUUGCUAUAAAUAAAGGGGCAUUUUCCUCAUUUUAUUCAUCGAAUUCUUCAGUUCCUUUCAAGCGAUUUAAGAGUCUAGUGAUUUGAGAGUUUGGGAGUAUUGUGAUUUUGAGUACUAAGUUAAAAUACUAUAAUACUUGUAACUCAUUUUCACUAGUAAAAUAUUUUUCUUCUGUCUUCGCCCGUAGACGUAGGCUAAAAGCUGAACCACGUAAUUUCUGGUGUCCCUAUGUGAUUAUGUGUCUCAUUAUUUCUCAAUUUUACUUUAGUUACGUGUCUGCUACACCCUUCAAUUUACUAACAAAAAUGGCCAAAAUUAUAUAAGUGACCCAAAUUUUUUUGCUAUUUCCAAGAAAUCCCCAAUCGGAAUAGACCAAACUAGAGGGAGGCAAGUUAGAAAUACGUUUCCUUCAUAAACAAUAACAGCGAUGAGUCGAUGACAUCGAGCCACGUCGGUAUCAAUAUUGAAUUAAAGGUGCAAUUAUUCAGCCAAUGAGCCUUACACAUCAAGAUAAAAGUCAAGAAAAUGAAAAAUUUAUCCUAAUUAAAACACUUUCUGGCUGCAUUUAGCUGUUUCUAUUUGAAGUUAAAAACAACAUUUCUUUCGUUUUGUGGGCAACUCGACUGAGUUCGCUGGCUUCUAGUGCUAGUAUGUGAAAAUAGAAGGCUAAUGAUUUAUUUGUUAUCUUUUGACAAAAAAUGUUAAAGAUAUAAUAGAUUUUCCAUGAUACAAAUGAAAAAUUAUAUCAACAUAACUUCCAAGCUACAGCAGCUAGUGUUUACCAAACACUUUGCUGUAGCUUUUAAGCUACAGCUGCCCAACCUCAAUAGGUUGAUUGAAUUUGUGGGAUAUAGAUUCCACAUAUCUCAUGACCUAUUAAUUAUACAAGUGGUUCUUGAUCAAGAACAACAUUUGCUUCCGACCCAGUAACCCAGCAACUGCUGCACUGGUCGCCACCUAUGGUGCCGACGAUAUUGCAUGGUCCAAUUAUGGCCUUGAAUGGAAAAAGUUGAGCAAAUUAUUUGUGGGCACGAUGAUAAGUAACGCAAGCCUUGAUGCUAGUUAUGGUCGAAGAAAACAAGAGGUUAAGAAUACUAUCAGAGAUAUGCAUAACAACAAAAAGGAAAAAAAAAAAAAAAGGCAUUGGCAAGUCAAUUGAUAUUGCUGAAUUGUCGAUUUCAACUUUGGCAUGUGUAAUUCAGACAUUGCGCGUUGUGGUAUGGCGCUGGCACGCUUGCAUUGCCGAGAGGACAAAUCUUGGGGCUGGGCUAAAAUUUAGGCUUGUAGAACUCAUGGUGCUAAUGGGAACGCCAAAUUUUUUUAACAUAUUUCGGUGCUUUCAUGGUUUAAUUCAAGGUAUAGAAAGGAGUGUUGAGAAUGUCAAAUAAAACGACAUUGAAUGGAAGUUGUCAAAGACAUGAUCCGCACUGAACGGCAAUGACACGGUUGGUAAAGAUUUUUUCAUAAUAUGCGUAUCUAAUUUUUGAAAAAUUGUAACCUCUGCUUCUAUAAAUAUGCUCAAUGUAUAAUGUUUUACUUAAGAAAUGAAAAACUUAAUUCUUUAUGGUAUCAGAGCGAGGCUCGUUGCUCUGUUUGUAACAAAAACAAAGAAAACUAAAUUCUUCCCACAACUAUUUUUCCACCUUUUUUUCUUCCUUAAAAGCAUUCCUAGCAUUACAGAAACCCAUGCCAAUAAAAGAACAAGCCACACAUAUGUAAAAACUUUAGUUUACAAAUCUAUCAACAUCCCCAUAAAUUUUCCCAAAAAGUGAUCUUCAAAAACCAAAAAUACCAUCAAUUUUCGCAUCUUCUAGUAAACAAACUAUAAAAGUUUCGCACUCAAACAGAGCCACACGCGCCUCCACGCGCUUCCCGGAAUCACGGCCAACCACCACGCGCCUCUGUCACCACCAACUCACCCUCAUGCGCUCCAGAUGUUGCAGAAGACGCAAAACGACGUGUCGUUUUCUUCUCUAAAAGUGCAGCAACGUGGAAAUGACUUUUUGUUUUUGCCUUAAAUUGUUUUUCCUCGUUUGAAGCUAUACAACAUUUUUCUUUCUAAACCUGUUUUUUACAAUAAAAAAAGAAAAAAAUGGAGAAAACUCCAACUGAAUCUACUCAUGUUGUCAUUCAAUCUGUUCAACCUGAUGGAGUAUUUAAUGCCGAAAUUAUCCUUACUAAGACAAACUACGAUAUUUGAUCUCAAAUAAUGGAGAUGCAUCUCGCAGAAAGAAAAAAACUCCCAUAUAUUCGUAGCAGCAUAAAUCCAUCUGACAAAUUUUCAAAGAAAUAUGAGAAAUGGUAUAGUGAGAACCAAAAAGUAAAAAGAUGGUUACUCAUAACCAUGUGUCCUGAGAUCAUGAAGCGAUAGUUACAAAUUCCUACAGCCUACGAAAUUUAGAAUGCAUUAUCAAAAGCCUUUUAUAAUGGAAGCGAUGAAAUACAAGUUUUCACUCUAAAUCAGAAGGCGUUCUCUACGAAGCAAAAUGGACAACCACUCUCUAAAUUCUACGGAGAAUUGAUCAAAAUGUUUCAAGAACUUAAUCACCGAGAUAAAGUGGUCAUGAAGGAUCCAGAAGAUGUUAUAAUAUAUAGGAAGUUUGUUGGAAGAUUGAGAGUGCACAUUUUUCUUGCUGGACUAGAUGAAGAAUUUGACCAAGUUUGUGGAGAAAUUCUACGAAAAGAUACUAUCCUAGACUUAAAAGAAUGUUAUUCUCUAAUCCGAAAAGAAGAUGUACGGCAAAGCAAACUAACAAGAAGGUGGACGACUCAGAAACGUCUGCUAUGAUACCACAAGAGAACAAUGUUUUGAAAUUGUUCGAUAUCCUGACUGGUGGGAUACUCGAAGUAAUAACACAAAGCAGAGAUAAAAAACUGCAGUAGCUGAAUCCACAUCCACUACAGAUCUUAGAAAAGAAUCUUCAGCGCAAAUUGCAACCUCUGUCAAUUCAGGUAAGGUCAUUAAAACUCUUACAUUUGUUAUUAAUAGUAUAUGGAUAAUUGAUUAUGGUGCAACUGAUCAUAUGACUUUUGAUUCUUGACAAGUUUCUUAAUUGAAACCAUCUUCACAUAAACAUGUUUCUACUGUAAAUAGAACCACAACCUCAGUUAUUGGGGAAGGAUCUUUACAACUCACAAUUAAAUCAAAUUUAGACUUUGUGUUAAUUGUUCCAUCUUUAAAUUAUAAUCUUUUAUAUGUGUCUCAAAUAACCUCUUACUUAUCAUGUGUUGUAAUGUUUUGGCCCGAUCAUUGCAUGUUUAAGGACAUCCAAAUGAAGGAAACGAUUGGUUAUGAUAUUAAAUAAGGCAACUUGUAUUACCUGGAGAUGACAUCAACAAACACUGAAAAGCUAAGCCCCGCAUUAGUAGCAGACAAUUCCAUGAAAAAAAAGGAAAUAAGAAAUUUGGUUAUGGCAUAGACGAUUAGGGCAUGUGUCAUUUGAUUUCUUAAAAAAAUUGUUUCCUAGUUUGUUUCUGAAAUUUGAUAUUUGUAACUUUAAAUAUGAUGUUUGUGAACUUUCAAAUAGCCAUCGAACUACUUUUCCAUUGUCCUUAAAUAAGAAUCCAAUUCCUUUAAUGGUAGUACAUUCUGAUGUAUAGAGACCAUCUAAAGUUUCUACCAUUGGAAGAGCUCGUUGGUUUGUUACAUUUAUUGAUGAUUGUAGCAGAAUGACAUGGAUUUUUUUAUGAAAUUAAAAUCAUAUGAUGGUGACAACUCUAUUUCAGACACAAAUUUGAGUUCUACAUACUGAUAAUGGAGGCGAGUAUAUGAGCACAACAAUUCAACAGUUUUUGAAAUCACAAUGAACUCACCACCAAACCACUUGUGUGGGGACACUCCAACAAAAUGGCGUUGCUAAACAAAAAAAUAGACAUUUACUAGAAGUUGUUCAAGCAUCACUAAUUUAGGCCCGCAUGCCACUAUUUUAUUGGGGAGAAGCAUUGGCAUCCGUAGCAUACUUGAUCAAUCGGACACCUUCAAUCUUCCUUGGAUUCCAAACUUAUUUUCUAGUUCUAAAUGAAGAAUUAUGUCAUCAAAUGUGUCGAAUUUACCCCCACAUAUGUUUGGUUGUGUUGCCUUCGUUCAUUUGCCAUGACAAGAUAAAUUAUCUCCUCGAGCACUACGUUGUGUGUUUGUAGGGUAUGCCUUACAUCAAAAGGGGUACCGAUGCUAUCAUCCUCUAUUAAGAAAAAAUAUACAUCACCAUGGACAUAAUCUUUCAUGAAGAUAUCAUGUAGUACCCAUCGGAGCUUGAAUUUCAGAGGGAGUAUAAUGAAGAGGAAAUUCAUACUCUUACAUAUCUUUCACCUGAAGAAGAUCAAUCCUCCAUUGAGGUAGUAAACGUUCAAGAUACUGGAAAAGAAAACGACAAUGAUUCUCAGGCUGAGACAAGUGAAGACACAUUUAGGGAGCAAAAUAACUCAGACAUAACCACAAUCGAGAACGAGUCCAUGAAGAGCCACAUGAAGAAAUAUCUAACCAAUCAUCUGCAGAGGAUGAUCCUACCACAAAUCCCAGUCUAAUCAGAAGAAUACUUCCCCAGCAUCAAAAUAGAGGUAUCUCUAAACCCACAUAUAAGACUGACCUCUCUAGUAGAGUCAAAUACCCUAUGAGUCAUUUUGUAUCUAACCAUGGCUUAUCAAAAUCAAAUCAGUCAUUUGUGAAUCAAUUAUCUACUGUGUCUAUUCCUAACAGUGUGCAAUAAGCCUUAAAAUAUCGAAAGUGGAAAGGGCUAUGAAUGACGAAAUGAGAUCUCUUUAAAAAAAAUCAAACAUGGGAACUAAUUGAUCUUCCACCAGGAAAGAAACCAGUGGGUUGCCGAUGGAACUAGUUGAUCAUCCACCUCCAUUCUGACAAGCAAUGUUUAUCAGCAAUAACAAAUGACUGAAGCAUUUUAAUGAGGUUAGUAACGAAAAAGAGUUUAAUUAGAGAAUAUUAUAAGAGAAAUUCUAAUUUUUGAUUUUUAAUAAAUUAAAAUAUCUUAAAAUAUUAUUAGUUGGUGGUGGUUUCAUGUCAGAUUAAGACGUGACACCUUACUAAUGAGGUCGAGACAAUUAGCUUAAAUUAUUUCAAUGCAUUUGAAAUUUCCACUAAUGACUAUAAUUCUUUGUCCUAAUUACUAUGAUAAUUAAUAACAUACAAUUGAAAUAGUUAAUAUUAGCACUUGGCAAUAAAUAAUUAAAUUUCAUUAACACUAAAUAAUAAUUGAAUAUGGCUUUGUACAUCGAUGACGCCAGCAACAAGGGGACCGCGAUUAUCACUCUUUAAGUUGCUUUUAAAAUUGAUUUUAGUAGUGAUAUGAUUAUUGUAGUGUUUUUAUUUUUUAUAUUAAAAUUAAGUGAUUUGUUAUAAUAAACUUAGUUGAGUUUAAUGGUAUUACUACAUAAAUUGAAUAGUUAUCAAAUAUUUUAAUAUUUUUAUGGCAAGCGUUGACGUGGCAUUUAUUUGUUGUAUGAUGGAUUUUAAAAUUUAUAAAAUUAUUUGUUAUUAAAUUACCCCCAGAUGCUACAUCACCUGAAACUUAAUAAAGGUAUGAAGACAUGUGUGUGUGGACUGAAAUGAAGAAUAUGGAAAAGUUGAGAGCUGUUGUGCAGAUUGAGUUCAGUUGAUGGGGUCUAUUAGAUAUUGUCUGCUGACGUGGCAUGAAUUCGUUAUAAUCUGUUAUAACGAGUUCAGUAUAUCAGUAUACAAUAGAGCUGAUGGAUGGUGCCUGUUUUAGAGUCUUUUUUAUAUUCAUUUGUUCAUCAUUUUGCGCAAGAUCUGUUCCAUUGUGAUAUGUGUAAAGUCUUAUGUAAACCCACUUAUGAUUGGAUUAGUUCUUGAUUAAUAACAACGAGUAAAUUUUCCUUCAAGUGUGCUGGUCUGUGCCCCUGUUUUUUGUUCUGAUAUUGUUUCUUUGUUCUGGCAUUUCAUUUCGAUUGUGUUCUUGGUGUUUCUACUCAUCAAGAUUUAUGAGUCUUGUUGAGAUUAAAGACUUAAUAGUCUUAACAAGUGGUAUCAGAGCCUGGUGAAUCUCAGCCAUGUCUCUUUCGAAGCAUGAAAUUGAAAAAUUCACCAUUGGUGGUGAUUUCUCGCUUUCGAAAUUAAAAAUGAGGGCUCUCCUUGUGCAUUAGAGGCUUGAAUUUGCUCUGGAAAAAGAUAAUCUAGAGGCUGCUACAAGUUAUGUGACUGAUGAUAAGAAGAGACAAAUCCAAAACCGAGCUCGUAGCACUCUAGUUUUGAGUCUUGGUGACUCAAUCUUGAGAAAGAUUUCUGAAGAGAAGACAACCUUAGGGAUUUGGAACAAGGUAGAAGCUUUGUGUACAAAGAAGUCGCUAGCUCACAGACUAUUCUUGAAGAAAAAGUUAUACACAUUCUCGAUGAGAGAAGGAGUCACAAUUCAAGAUCACAUUGAUACCUUCAACAAGAUCAUUCUUGAUCUUGAAGGGGUGGAAAAUGUGACAAUAAGUGAUGAAGAUAAAGCCUUCUUCUUGUUGAGUUCCUUACCAAAGUCUUAUGAAGGCUUUGUAGAUACAAUGCUUUAUGGCAGAACAACAUUGACUCUUGAAGAUGUUAAAGCAUCUCUAAGUUCAAAAGAGAUUCAGAAGAACAAUGAGAUUGAAACAAAUAAUGGUGAUGGGCUGAUUGCCAGAUCAGAAAAGAAGAAAGAUCAGAAGAAUAAAAAUCAGGGAAAAUGACAUGGAAAGAAUUAAGAAAAUGCAGACAAGAAGAAAAAGAAGAGAAAAUGCUUCUACUGCCGGAAGGAAGGGCAUUACAUCAGGGAUUGUCUUAAAAAGAAAAAAAAAGAAAGUCAAGAGAAGUCAGGGGAUGCAGCUGUAGCCUCUGAUGAUGCCUCUGAUGGAUAUCACAUUGCUGAUUUACUUGUGGCCUCAAAUAGCAAUACUAAAGGUCAGUGGGUCAUAGACUCUGAGUGCUCUUUUCACUUGUGGCCUGAUAAAACCAUAUUUUACAAAUAUGAAGUUGUUGAUGGUGGUAGAGUCUUAAUGGGAAAUAAUAAUGUGUGUAAUCUUGUUGGUAUUGGUUCUGUGAAGAUCAAGAUGUUUGAUGGAACUGUAAGAGCUCUACAUGAGGUGAGGCAUGCUCCUAGGCUAAAGAGAAAUCUAAUCUCUUUAGGCAUGCUAGACAGCUUAGGGUAUUUCUUUAAAUCAGAAAGUGGUGGUUUAGAGAUAAGAAAGGGGACUGAGAUAGUGAUGAAGGGGGUUAAAGAAAAUGGCUUAUAUGUAUUGUAAGGCUCAUCAGUGCUUCUUCAAAAGGGAAUUUCUGCUCUUUUUGAGGAAGAUAUAACCAAGUUAUGACAUCUUAGACUUGGUCAUAUGAGUGUCAAAGGGAUGUAAGAGCUCAGCAAACAAGGGCUACUUGGUGGGGAUAGAAUCCAGCAACUGGAAUUAUGUGAAAAUUGCAUUUUUGGCAAAGCUCACAGGUCCAAGUUUCACAAGGGGGAGCAUAUGUCUAAGCAAGUUUUGGACUAUGCACAUGCUGACCUUUGGGGGCCUGCUCAAGUCCCAUCCUUGAGUGGUGGCAGGUAUUUCAUAUCACUAAUUGAUGAUUACUCAAGGAAGAUGUGGGUCUACAUACUCAAGACCAAAGAUCAAGCCUAGGAAAAAAUUCAAGGUAUAGAAAUCUUUGGUAGAAAAUCAAUUUGGAUUCAAGCUCAAAUGCUUGAGAACUGAUAAUGGUUUGGAAUUUUGUAGCAAAGAAUUUGAGGAAUAUUACAAAAAAACAUGGCAUAAAAAGGCACAAAACAGUCAGGUUCACCCCCCAGCAGAAUGGCUUGGCUGAAAGGAUGAACAUGACCUUGGUAGAUAAGACCAGAUGUAUGUUGAUAAAUUCAAAGCUUCCAAGAAGCUUUUGGGCAGAAGCUGUCAAUACAACAAGUUGUUUGGUUAACAGAAGCCCAUAUUCUGCAAUUGGCUUCAAAACACCAGAAGAAUUGUGGAAGGAAAAACCUGUAAAUUACCAAAAUCUCAGUGUUUUUGGAUGCCCUGCUUAUCUCCACAUCAAUCAAGGCAAGCUGGAAGCUAGGGCCUUGAAAGGAGUCUUUGUUGGAUAUCCUGAUGGGGUUAAGGGAUACAUAAUCUGGUGUAGAGAGUAAGGGAAGUGUAUAGUCAGCAGGGAUGUUGUGUUUCAUGAAUUUGGAUUGCUAAAAGAAAAUGCAGAGAAUGAUACUAGACUACAAAAUGAUUCAAUAAUUAUCAAACAAUCUGGAACUUCCAAGGUUAAGGUGGAGCUGUUUGGAAAUAAAGACAGUAGAAAAGAGGUAGCUGAUUAUGAAGAGAGGACCACAGCUAAAGUUGAGGAACAUGAGUCAUCAGAGUUGCCACAAGCUGACUUGCAGACUUAUCAGUUAGCAAGAGAUAGAGUUAGAAGAGAAGUCAAAGCACUAGUGAGGUAUGGCUAUGCUGACUUAAUUACUUAUGCAUUGUUGUGUGCUGAUGAUGUGGCAAUUGAAGAGCCUGCUAACUUCUCUGAAGUUAUUGAAAGUGUGCAUUGUGAUAAGUGGCUUGAGGCAAUGCAAGAUGAAAUGGGAUCCCUUCAAAGAAAUCAGACCUGGACACUUGUUCCAAAUCUAGGUAAUAAAAAGUUGAUCAGUUGUAAGUGGAUCUUCAAGAAGAAUGAAGGAAUUCCAGAUGUUGAACCUCCCAAAUAUAAAGCAAGGCUAGUGGCUAGGGGGUUUACACAGAGAAAGAGUGUAGAUUUCAAUGAAAAAUUUUCCCCUGUUCUUAAGCACAUUUCAAUAAGAAUUUUAUUAGUCAUGGUAGCCUUACUUGACUUGGAGCUUGAGCAAAUGGAUGUAAAAACAGCAUUCCUUCAUGGUAAUCUUGAAGAACAGAUAUUGAUGGCACAACCUAAAUGUUUUGAGUGCAAAGGAAAUGAGGAUUAUGUUUGUUUGCUGCAUAAGUCCUUGUAUGGACUCAAGCAAUCCCCACGACAGUGGUACAUAAGAUUUGAUGAUUUUAUGGUCUCAAAAGGCUAUCACAUAAGCAAAUAUGACAGUUGUGUUUACUUUGGUGGAUCAUAUCAAGGUGGAGUUGCUUAUUUGCUUCUGUAUGUUGAAGAUAUGUUAAUUGCAAGAAAAUAUAAGUUGGAGAUAGAGAGGUUGAAGAAAUGAAGGAUCUCGGCAAUGCCAAAAGAAUCCUUGGGAUGAACAUUACAAGGGGCAGAUCUGCUGACACUUUGUUCUUGAGUCAUGAGAAAUAUAUCAAGAAGGUUCUGGAGAGGUUUGAGAUGCAAGACUAUAAACCUGUCCAAACACCACUUGGUCCCCAAUUCAAGUUGACAGCAGCUCAAUCAUCAGAAGAUGAGUCUCAGGUGAGUGAAUUCCCAUAUGCACAGGUUGUAGGGAGCCUGAUGUAUGUAAUGGUAUGCACCAGGUCAGAUAUAGCUUAUGCAGUAAGUGUUGUCAGCAAAUUUCUCAGUUGUCUAGGCAAGGUUCACUGGAAUGUUGUAAAAUGGAUAAUGAGAUAUCUUAAGGGCUCUUUUACUUGUGGUUUGCUGUAUGGGAAGACUAAGAGUGACAUAAGUGAAGUCCUGGGGUUUGUAGACUCUGACUUUGCUGGAGAUCUUGAUAGAAUGAAGUCAACCUCAGGGUAUAUGUUUGUGUUAAACAGUUGCCUGAUUAGCUGGAAGUCAUCACUUCAGUCUGUGGUUGCUUUAUCCUCAACUGAAGCUGAGUUUGUUGCAACUACAGAGGCAGUAAAAGAGGCCAUGUGGCUAAGAGGUUUGCUUAAUGAGUUAUGGUUAAAUCAGAAAAUUGUUCAGGUUUUCUGUGAUAACCAAAGUGUCAUACACCUGGUAAAGAAUCAGAUGUAUCAUGAAAGAACCAAGCACAUUGAUGUGAAGCUCCAGUUUAUCAGAGAUGAGGUUGGAAAAGGAACUAUAAUUGUGUCCAAGAUCUAUACCAGUGUGAAUCCAACUGAUGUUAUUACAAAAGCACUUCCCACUGCAAAAUUUGAAUUCUAUGUGAAUCUAAUGGGCAUCUCGCCCAAACCUAACUAAAUUCAAUAGUGAAUUGUAGUUGAAUGAAGGUUUUUUAGGUGCUGUGUUAUUGAAAGGAUCAACUGAAUCAACUGCAAGGUGGAGAAUGUGAAGAUGUGUGUGUGGACUGAAAUGAAGAAUAUGAAAAAGUUGAGAGCUGUUGUGCAGAUUGACUUCAGUUGAUGGGGUCUAUUAGAUAUUGUCUGCUGACGUGGUAUGAAUUCGUUAUAAUCUGUUAUAACGAGUUCAAUAUAUCAGUAUAUAAUGGAGCUGAUGGAUGGUGCCUGUUUUAGAGUCUUUUUCGUAUUCAUUUGUUCAUCAUUUUGCACAAGAUUUGUUCCAUUGUGAUCUGUGUAAAGUCUUCUGUAAAUCCACUCAUGAUUGGAUUAGUUCUUGAUCAAUAACGAGUAAAUUUUCCUUCAAGUGUGCUGGUCUGUGCCCCUGUUUUUGGUUCUAAUAUUGUUUCUUUGUUUUGGCAUUUCAUUUCGAUUGUGUGCUUGGUGUUUCUACUCAUCAAGAUUUGUGAGUCUUGUUGAGAUUAAAGGCUUAAUAGUCUUAACAAAAGGGAAUGUAGCAUUGCCAUUAAUCAACAUUCACUCUUAUGACUUUAUGACAUUAGAAUUAAAAUCUUUCGUACAUUUAAUUUAUUUGCUUCCAAAUUAAUCUUUAAUAAAUAUUUUUUCACAUUAUCAUCAAUGGACAAAACUCCAACGAAAAUAACUACACGAGAACAAUUUAUGCUAGUAUUAAAUGCCACGAUAUCUAUAACUUUGUCUGGAUCGAUCAUUCUAAUUUUUUCGCAGAACUUUUUGUCAAUGGACAAACACCUCACAGAGCUUGUCAGCCGCAUUAUUACGAUGUAAAAUUGUACCGGAAUAUCUUGAAUUAUUAGUAGAAUAAUGAAGACUAUUUGGGGCAAUAAAAACAAAUAACGCAGAUAAAAAAAUGGCUAAAAUUAUGUAAGUGAGCCCCAAAGUUUUUGCUAUUUCCAGGAAAUCCCAAAUUUGAAUGGACUAGAGGGAGGCACGUAAGAAAUACAUUUUCUUCCUAGACAAUGACAGCUAUGACAUCAAGCCACGGUGGCGUCAGUAUUGAAAUUAAGGUGUAAUUAUUCAGCCAAUGAGCCUUACACAUCAAGAUAAAAGUCAAGAUAAUGAAAAUUUGGCUGUUUCCAUUUGAAGUUAAAAGCAACGUUUCUUUCGUUUUGUGGGCGACUCGACUGAGCACGCCCCAAUAGCUAUAUUUAGGGCGUCAAUUUGAUAUUUGAAUGGACAGGCAAGUAAGAAAUACAUUUCCUUCAUAGACAAUGACAACGAGGACAUCAAGCCACAUCAUUAUAGUUUGUAGCCCAUCUACAUUUAAACGAUUAAUAAACAAGCUUAGGUGUGCCACUGCUAUUAUUAAUUAUCCCCUGAUCAUUAUAGUUUCUGAAACAGUAAAACUAAACGAAAUUGAAUACAUCAACGAGACCGCAAUUAUCACUUGUUUAGUUGCGGUAUUUAACUUAAUUUUAAUAUAAUAUAUUUGUUAGUUAAACUUUUAAUAAUCAAAUAAUUUUGAUUUAAAAAUAAAAUUAUAGAAAUUAUUAAUUAUUAAUUAUUAAAAAUUCACAAUUAAGGGAACGUUCAUCAAACACACAUAGCUAUUGUUUUCUCUAUAUAUUGCAGUGUGUACGAUAUUGAGGGUUGAAGCCCCAAGCAUGCUCUAAAAUCCAGAUAAUAAUUAGAUCCGGGCCAAAUAUUCAUCAUUGUGUCAGCUGAUCAGUCGGUGGACAUCUCUAUUGAAAAUAUCUCUGACAUUUCACUCGACAAACUUAUUAAUAUAAAAAAUCUGUGGUUUUGCCGUCUGAAUAAUGUAGAAAAAUUUGUCUAUGCAUUAAUCUAGAUGUUUGAGGUGAUUUAUACAUCUGUGGUAAAGAUUUAUAGGUUGACUUAGACGUCUGUGGUAUAGAUUUUAUGUAUUUCAUUACAAAAUGCUGGCCGUUAGAACCCUUUCUACAUCUAUUUAUAAGAUUAACGGGUGCCAGCUAUGCCAUUACAAAUUAUCCCCUCAUCAGAUAUUUCGUUAAAAUUCAUUCUGAAACACUAAAACUAAAUAAUCGAAUAUGGCUUUGCGGGUCGAUGAUGCCAGCAGCAAUGAGACUGCAAUUAUCACUUGUUUAGUUUCUGUGCUGGCCGUGGUUUACUUCGCAUGGAAUGUGAAAAAAUCAAGGAAAGCAAAUGCUACACUGCCACCAGGACCUCGCGGCUUGCCUGUAUUCGGAUACCUCCCAUUUCUUGGAACUACUGACUUGCACAAGAAAUUCACGGAAUUAUCCGGAGUUUAUGGUCCGAUCUUCAAGCUUUGGCUUGGAAAUAAAUUAUGUGUAGUGGUGAGCUCACCUUCCCUAAUUAGACAAGUGGUUCGUGAUCAAGAUACAACAUUCGCGAACCGUGACCCACCGAAGGCUGCACUAGUGGUCUCCUAUGGUGGCAAUGAUAUUGCAUGGUCCAAUUACGGUCCCGAAUGGAGAAAGUUGCGCAAAUUUUUUGUGGGCAAGAUGAUGAAUAACGCAAGCCUUGAUGCUUGUUAUGCUCUAAGAAGACAAGAGGUUAAAAAUACUAUCAGGGAUUUGUAUAACAACGACAACAAAAUUGGCAAGCCCAUUGACAUUGGUGAAUUGUCGUUUUCAACAUUGGUAUGUGCUAUACAGAACAUGCUGUGGGGUGAAGCGCUUGAAUUAAAAGAGAAAGGGACCACUAAUCUUAGGGCUGGGCUAAAAUUUAAGCUGGCAGAACUCAUGGUGCUUGCGGGAACACCGAAUAUUUCGGAUGUCUUUCCAAUGCUUUCAUGGCUUGACAUACAAGGUAUAGAGAGGAGAGCAAAGAAGAUUUCACUCUGGCUUGAUAAUGUUAUAAAUUCUACUGUUGAACAGCAUAGAAACAAGGAGUUAACUGUUGAAGGUGAAGAAAGAGCGGGGAAAAAUUUUGAAGGAUCAAGGAACAAGAACUUCUUGCAGUUACUAUUGGAGCUUCAAGAAAAUGAUGACAGUGCUUCCUCAAUUAGCAUGAACCAAUUCAAGGCCGUACUCGCGGUAUGUUAAGCAACUAGCCACGAACAGUUAUACAAGCACAAUUGUAUAUUUGCAUGAGUGAUAUUUUCAACCUUUUUUUUUAAUUAGAAUUUUAUUGUCACCUUUUGGACAGGAUAUAAUUACGGCUGGAACCGACACCACAACUACGAUGGUGGAAUGGACAAUGGCAGAGUUGAUGCAGCAUCCACAAGUAAUGAAGAAAGUUCAGGAAGAAUUAGCUCAAGUUGUGGGCAUGGACAGUUGUGUUGAAGAAUUUCACCUGUCUAGAUUAAUGUAUUUAGAUGCUGUGGUGAAGGAAACAUUUCGUCUGCAUCCUGCAGUGCCUUUAUUACUACCACGUAGGGCAAGCGAGAGUGGCAACAUUGGUGGCUAUACCAUUCCCAAAGAUACAACUCUUAUGUUGAAUGUUUGGGCUAUCCACAGGGACCCUCACCUUUGGGAUAAUCCCUUAGAAUUUCGACCCGAGAGGUUUCUGAAUGUUGGUAUCGAGAGUAAGUUCGAUUACUCAGGUAACAAUUUUCAGUACUUGCCAUUUGGUUCUGGUAGAAGGAUGUGUGCUGGGAUUCCUCUAGCUGAGAGGAUGCUGAUGUUUGUUUUGGCUUCGUUAUUGCACUCAUUCGAGUGGGAAUUGCCAACUGGCACAAAGCUAAACUUAUCAGAAAAAUUUGGGAUUGUCAUUAAGAAAAAAGAGCCUUUGGUUGCUAUUCCAACACCAAGACUAUCCAAUUCAGAGCUCUACCAUUAAGACCAAAUGGUUGUGAUGAUUUUGUUAAUUUCCGAAGAUUUGUAUGUUAUUUCAAGUUCAAUCGUAGUAAAAUAUUUCAAAUAAGAGUCCUCCGUUGCUUUUUUUUUUUUUUUUCAACGGCAUAAUCUGUGGUCAUGCUUGUAUUUGGAGCCACUUUAGAAAAAUUAUGUUUGAAUUACAAUUUAUAAAUAUUACAUUUUAAAAUAUUAUGAGGCUAAAUUUAUACACGUUCAAUAACCCGCUUCAUAUAUAUUUAACACAAUUUAUAUCAUACAUUGUACACCCAUUUAUCAUAAAUUACACUAUUU
RNAcentral lists this long non-coding RNA (58014 nucleotides) under Citrus maxima (pomelo). RNAcentral's name for it is "long non-coding RNA (CMAX_LNC000490)". Lineage: Eukaryota; Viridiplantae; Streptophyta; Magnoliopsida; Sapindales; Rutaceae. The record is from RNAcentral.